This 87336-nucleotide long non-coding RNA is filed under the name Nicotiana benthamiana. RNAcentral describes it as "long non-coding RNA (NBEN_LNC012060)". The stretch from base 46994 to 47066 matches the Rfam family "tRNA". The record is from RNAcentral. Lineage: Eukaryota; Viridiplantae; Streptophyta; Magnoliopsida; Solanales; Solanaceae.
UUCCUUUCCCUAUUUGACAAAUUUAACCAAAUGACUAUUUUUGCCAACGUGGCCCCUUUCCAAAUUCUCAUGAAAUUUUUAGGUCGGGGAGUAUCUAUUUUAUGACAGUAUACAAACUUGUCCAUUUUUUACGAAAACAGUUUUUCGACAACUGAAAGAUACUCUAAGGCUAUUUUGGAAAGAGCAGUUUAAUACAUUGUCGAAGUUGGCUCGGCUUAUUUUGACCACAAUCCAAACGACAUUCACUUGCAUUUGGGAACAUUCAGCUAUUUUUGAUAAAAACGGCAUCACCUGACUUCUUUAUGGCAUAAAUUAAAACUUUGACAUUUUUUGCCUUUCGUUUUUUUUUCAAAGGGGAGGUUGGACAUCUCUCGAUUUAUUUAUGACAAAAAUUAAAAUUUUGACACAUUUGUUUUGGCUAUUUUUGCAAAACGGGAGGUUGGACCAGAUGAGGGUUGUCUGCGUAUCUCACAUCCAAUGAGAAUCAAACCAGCCUAGUUCGCCCAAUUAACCGAACUAUUUUAAAAUAGGACUCUUUUCCAUUUUUAUUUUUGGCAUUUCAUAAACAAACAACAAAACUACUUUCAAAAGCACGACUCUUUUUCAUUUUUAUUUUUGGUAUUUCAUAAACAAAUAAAAUAACUAUUUUAAUAUAAAAAAAAGACUCUUUUUUUUCAUUUUUGGCAUUUCAUAAACAAGUAAAAUAAAAGAACUAUUUUAAAAAAAAAACAAGACUUUUUUUUUCAUUUUAAUUUUUCAUGGCAAGACAAACUAUUUUCCUUUCUAGUUUUGAAAGCAAGACAAAAUAACGACUCUUUUUUUUCCUUUUUUUUCAACAAACAAUAAAACAACAUAUUUUUUUCAAACUAAAAUAAAGACUCUUUGUUAAUAGAGCAACUAUUUAAAAACAAACAUUUCUUUUUCCAAAAUUUCGGCAGAGUUUCGAUAGUAUUUUGGCAUUGGUUUUUCCUAAAAAUAGGUGAUUACACUCUACACAGCUAGUUUUAUUUUCUCUUUUUUUCACAAUUUUCCAGUAUUCAAAGCCGGUCAGCAAGUAAGUUCGAAGCAAAAUAAAUGUGCAAAACAAAUAAGAUGCAGCAGGAUGGUCUUUUUUUUUUGUUUUAGGUUGCUAUUCCUAGACGGACUCAACCCCUGUGUUGAGUCCCCUAAGUCAAAAUGCAUAUGAUGCAAAUAAGCAUUCGUAUUAGGGAUCUGGCAUGAGGCUGGGUCAUUCUCGGUUCAAAACCUGGGUGAUUGUUCUAGACCUGGCUUACCCGAGCGGAUAGCUCAAGCCGAGGGGGAGGCAGCAAUCUGGGAAUACAGGUGCUUCGACGGCUUUGCAACUUAUCCAAACCUCGUUCUAAAUUGGGAUUUGACACUAUACAGAAAAGAAGUCAUACAAAGUACACCAUUCUUCAUGAUUCAGAAGACUCAUAGAGGAGAUGGUUUUCGGCACAGUUUAUAUACAAUUCACAUAAUAUCAAAGUGGUAAAAGUAGUCAAUUAGCACGAUAAGCUCAAAUAAUGUAACAAAAUCAGAUAAAGCCAAACAUAACAAUUUAUCUAAGCUCGAAUUUCUAACCCUGAACCAGUGGUUCUGCGUUAUCUUCCCCUACAGAGUCGCCAGAGCUGUCACACCUCCUUUUUCCGUCUCGCGAGGGUACAUGGAGUUUUUUCCAAUUAAAGGACAAUCGAACGGGAUUGGAUUAAUUAUUUCAUAUUCGCCACCUGGGAGAUUUAUGGUGUCCCAAGUCACCGGUUUUAAUCCCAAAUCGAGGAAAAGGGUGACUCUAAAUUACAGUCUGCGUACCAAAUAUCCGGAUAAGGAAAUCUGUUAACCCGGGAGAAGGGGUUAGGCAUUCACGAGUUUCGUGGUUUUAGCACGGUCACUCAAUUGUUAUAUUUGGCUUAUUAUCUGACUUUGAACAAAUAUGUGAUUGGUGCAAAGUGUGACUUCUUACCGCUUUUAUUAUUACUAUUGUUAUUUUUAUAAAGAAUUUCAAUGUCGUGAAAACGUAUCUCGAACCACGUCACAAAUAGUGUAUGUGUGGUCGUCGACACAUUUCGACUACGUUGAGAUUUGGAUUUGGGAUGCAUGAAUGCACACCCAUAUUUAGGGAGGUAGAUUAAUAAAGACGCGCCCUAAGCGACUAGCGUAGUGUUGUUUUGGACCAGGCCAUGAAUUUCAUUAAACGGCCUGUUCCGGAGUCUAAGAAACCUUUGCAGAACACAUGUAUAGAGGGCUCGCAAUUUGUGUAUUUUUAUUUGGCGAGGCACGCCUCAUUUUAUUUUAAAGGAUAGCCUAAAGCGACUACAUUUUCUAUUUCGUUACGUCUCAAAAAAUCCAAAAAAAAAAAUCCUAUAUUAUUCACAUGCUUACGAGUUAUUGGCUAAGUUUUGAACCUAAACAGUUAACUCUAAAAAUGGAUGGGAACAUGAGGGAAUACAGUUUUGUGCCCAGGCCCAACGUGCGUGGUGCAAAACUGGACAUGUGCCAUUUCUAUUUUAGCGUUUGGCCUACUACUAGCAUUUGCACAUGUUUGGUAUUUACAGUAAAGCAGAAUUGGAAUCAAUAAUUAAAACACCCUUUAUGAAUCUAGAUAAGUAAGUUUGCUAACUAAACUAGUUUAAAUUAUUGAUUAAUCAACCUAAAGCCUAUAUACGCAUCAGAAACAUGCUUGUAAAGUAUUUGAAACAUUAGAGUGUCACCACUACAUUAUUAGUUCUUUAAACUAACAUACAGGACAUGAUAUCUACUGCUACAACACUAGGUAUCAGGUGUACAUACAGAACUACUACAUGUUAACUACUGUAUAUACACAACUUAAGCAAAUAAAUAACUUCAAAGCUUUAAGGCUUCAUUAUUAUUCAUGCUUCAAACUUUCAGCUACAUUGUGUACCAGUAUAAGUUUGUGUACCUGGUAUUUCUGAACAAAGGAAAGAGGAAGAUCAAUAAAAGUAGUAGAAUCACAGCAGUAGUAGUGCAGCAACACAGAUUCAGCAACAGCAAUACAAUUAGUGAAUCCAAUAAUAGAUAACCCAGUAAUAGAUGAAAAAUCAAACAGAAGGAGUCUAGGAACAUAUGCAAUAAAACUUGAAUACCAACAACAACUCAAUACGCCCAAAUGAGUUAUGGAAAAUACCAAUUCAACUCUCGUUUAUGAGUUCUAAAAUUUUUCUCUCAAAAAAUUCAGUUCUAUAUUUUUUAGUUCUCAAUUUAUGAUUACAAAAAUUUUCUCGUGAAUUUCUAAUGUCCAAAAUUCAGUCCUUAAUUACUCCUUAACUCUAUGUAUUUAUAGUAACCCCUAAACCUUCCCUCCUUUGAAAAACUUCACUUACCCAACCAACCACCCCAAGAAAAUCUGCCUAUUUUCAACUAAAUCCCACUAAGGAAGGCGUUUCCUUAUUUUCUUCCCUAAAUCAAGGCAUGAUAUAAGGGUUUAUUCCCCACUAGCAUUAAACUAAUGUAUAAGUUCUUGUCCUAUUAUUGCUUGACUAACAGACCAUUAAUUUGGUCAAUUCUGACCAUUUUCCAUUCCCAAAAUACUCCUAUAAUCCUACUGUUAUUACCGUCAUGCCCUUAACCCUAUGUUUACUGGUCUGAAACUACAACCUAUAAAAAGCGCAUACUUAAAAACUGAUUUCAGAUUGAAUUGAUAUACUAUUAUAGCCAAUUCAUCCUAGAUUCAGAUUUUAAUUCAAACAAAUGACUCAAUCAGAAUUGAAGCAGUGAAUUAUCAGCAAAUUUGCUAUCAGGUUAUUCCAACGUUCAAACAAUCAAAGCUAAUCGACGACGCUUAUUUAAUCGACUAAAUACACACAAACAACAUACAGGCUAAACAUGGAACAUAGUGAUUCAUGUUUUUGGGACGAACUAGGGAACUUAACAUGAACUAACUACUGGACAAUUUUAACCAAGUUGAACACAUAGUUCAUCACAACUAAUUAACAAACAAAAUAGAAAAUCGACCAAAUAAAGGGUUUGUGGGAGAUGAAUGAUUUGACAGAAAAAUAAAUAAAAAAUCAAAUAAAUAAAACAAAUAUGCAAAUGAACACAAAUAAUCAAAUAUAGAAAUAUAAGGAAAAAGAAAACAUAUCUUUGAAAAACUCCUGAAACGGACCAGUCUUGAGUCAGGCAUGACCAUUCGAGGUCGAACAAACUCUAAUUGGAGUGUUCUCAAUUGAGAACACCUAGAUUAAAGCCUAUUAAACCUCAAUCUCCCAUAAAUUUGAAUAGACGCCCUAGUUUUGGAUUUUAGGGUUCAUACAUGUGAUUUGGGGCUUGGGGUUUUCUGGUCAGAUUCGAACCAAACCAAUGAUAGUUUGGUGACGGGGGAUGCUGGGGAAAGGUCUUGUAUGAGUUUGGGGUGGAUUGGCAUGGGUUGAGUCUUGACUCGAAUCUUCAAAUGAACAUUCAGAAGACCUAGGUUAAUUCAAGCCAAGCUGAUGAUGGAUUCGUGUUCAGGGGGUUGAGAUGUAUUAGGGGUGUUAUUUUGGUGAUCAUUGGCAUCAUGGCCUCCGGGCUACGAGCUUGGGGUUUCCAUGGCGGUUAGUAGGGUUUGGGAGGUGUCUGGUUCAUCUCUAAGAGAGACAAUGAUUGGGGGGCUGGCAAUGGGGGCGUGGGGUGUGAGAAAUAGGGUUUAUAUACAGGGGUGGAGUAAUGGAUCCUGACCGUUGGAUCAGAUGGGAUUGAUGGCCAGGAUCUCUUCACUAAAGGGAACGACGUCGUGUAGUUAAGUGUGAGAUGAACGGCCUAGAUCAAUUAUCCUUAUACGACGUCGUUUGGUUUGAAUUGAGCUCUGAUCUGUGCCAUUUGAUCAGUCUGAUUGAUGGUUCAAAUGAGAGGCGCCAAUACGGCGUCGUUUCAUUGUCUGGGAGACCGGGUCGAUGUGGACUAGGUCAGUAAAUGGAUUGUGCCUGAUUUUUUGUGUUGAAUUUCUAGCCAUCCCGAAUUUUCUCUUCAAUUUGAAUUCCUUUUCUUUUCCUUCUAAAAACCAAAAUUCUGAAUUAAUUUUUAAAAAUCAAAAUAAAACAACAAAAUAUUAAUUAACACUUACAACAUUUAAUACACACAUUAAAUCAUUUAAUAAAAAAUAAAAUCACCUAAUGACAACAAGGAUAGAGUAAAAAUGCAUAUUUUGUGAUUUUCCUUUAAAACCCCAAAUUAUGUUUUAAUUAAUUCCUAAAUGCACAAUUAAGUCCUAAAAAUGCAUGCAAUAUGUAUUUUUGUAUUUUCAAUCAACUAUAACACAGUAAACUUUUACGGACCAAAAUAAUCACCAAAAUGUCACACCAAUUCUCAAAAUUCUACUCGAAGGUAACUUGUUUUAUUUUUCGAUUUCUUUUGGAGUGAUUUCCGUAGAGCAAAAAUCACAUGCUCACAGCAUGUUACUAUAUUCUUUAAUUGCUAUAGUGAAGUGUUGUUAUAAAGAACAUAUACUACAACAUAACAUAAUAAUCAUACAAGGAAAACUCAACUUUUAUAGCAAAUAGCUAUUAUAUAGGGAUAACGUUAUAGGUAGGUCUGAUUGUAUCUAUUAAAAACAUUACGGACCCGCUCUAUGACUCCACUCAUUAGACCUUUCCACUUUUCCUUUAGAAAAAACUAUUGCAGAAGUCAGAUAAAACAAAUAAGAAAUUAAUAUGAAUUUUUAAUUAUAAUAAAGGAGAUGAUCAUUAUAUGGUCGAAAAUUGGACCCGUCUAUUCCAUGACAGGUCGGGACUGAAACGGAAAGGGUUAAACAUUGACCCCGAUUUUCAUUGAACAAGGAUAUGUGGUCAGAAUGCCGUCUUCAAGAACAUCGAGUCCAUGACCCCGAAAUCGACCCUGACCCCGAAAUCGACCCUGACCCCGAAUGCGCUCGAGGAAAUAUUAUAAGGCCGGAAAACGGAAGGCCAAAAUAUCUGUAACCAGUGGGGUAUCACAACGGGAAUCUCGACACGUAUCAAUGAGAAACCGGCUAAUUAGCAAAUCAUGAGAUUUUUUACCUUUUAUAGAUUUGUACCUAAAGUAGGACUCCCCUACUAUAUAAAAGGGGUAUGAUUAUUUGUUAAGGAAAUUGUUACACGGAUCUCAAAGUAAUAUAAUAUUAUUUUUUUCUGUAAGCUAUUGUUCUUCUGUAUCUGAUAUCGUUUGAUUCAAUCACCCAGUUCAAGUGAGACUUACUUUUCAAUGCUAUAACUUUUCAAGUUUUACGGUUUGAAUUUAAUUUAUCAUUGUUCGCUUUAAUUACAAUUCAGUUUAUCGCUUUGCAUUAAUUUAAUUCAUGUAUCCUUAAAGGGUGUUUUGGAGCACUAAGGGCGACUAGUGGUUGCUUCGCUCGACAAGACUGAAACCUUCGCUUGCACCACUAGAGUCGUUCCGGCACUGUUAUCUGAUUUUGAGGGUAAAUAGUUUAGCGCCCACCGAUGAGCUAAGGAUAAUAGUGGUUAUUUGAUACAAAUGUCUAUAACACAUACUAUUUUACACUUGUUCUUUGGAGUGUCUCUAAUUUCAUGUUAAAGCUCAAAAUGUCAAACUCACAACUGGCACCCCUACUUGCUGACAAUGAGUCCGGUCACUAUGGUGAAAAUGACAACAUAGCACCCGAUAACGAGGUACCACCCGUAGAUCCCAACGGAAUUCCAGUCAUGGGCCCGUUGAACGCUAACUCGUUUGUGGUAUCGACAUGAACCUGCCUACCGACCCCAAGAAUAGCAUCUGUGGUGGAGCUGGAUCGACAACACAGAUUACAUUACAAUGGAGGAGUUAGGUUCAAUCUAUAGAUGAUCUUUGAAAUGUUACAGGCUCAAUAGGCGGCGAUAGCUCAGUUACAAUACCAAAAUCGCACACCGAGCAUAAUUGAACCUGAUCUGUCCAGGAAAGUCACCUGCAUGGAAGAACCAAUCAUGGGGAGCUCAAAUGGAGAUGAGCCGGGGACUAACCCUGAGAUCAUAAAAAUGCCCAAAGAGCUUAAAAUCAGAUAGCAUCAGGGAAAAAGAAAAUCGAGGCAAAUGACAAGAAGGUAUAAAUCCACAAAUCCAGGGUCGACCAAAGGCUUGGACUCAAAAAAGGUCAUGCAAAAACCUUUCCUUCCAAUUGCGGCCCCAAAACCGAUCCCUAAAAACUUUUGUAUGGCUAAGAUUCCUAAGUAUAACGGGACGACCGACCCGAACGAGCAUGUCACUUCCUACGCAUGCACCAUCAAAGGGAAUGACUUGGAGGAUGAUGAGAUCGAGUCUAUUUUGUUGAAGAAAUUUGGAAAGACCUUGCCAAAGGGAUCCAUGAUAUGUAUCAUAACUUGCCUCCGUAUUCUAUUGACUCAUUUUCUAUGCUUGCAGACUCUUUCGUGAAAGCACACGCCGAGCCUAUCAAGGCAGAGACCAGGAAGUCGGACCUCUUCAAAGUAAGACAGAAGGAUAAUGAGAUGCUCGAAGAGUUCGUGUCUCGAUUUCAAAUGGAACGGUUGGACCUGCUACCGGUCGUUAAUGAAUGGGCGUUCAAGCAUUCGCCCAAGGAAUUAAUGUUCGAAAGUAGGGAUCGGUAUUAGCCUUAUAAUAGAGAUCAAAGAAGUAGUGGGUCCGGUGGAAUUAUAUGCAAAGUUAAGGGAAAAGUAUUGAGGUCAGAACAACGAGAAAAUCAUGAUCAAGAACAGUUUCGAUCCUAUCGGGCCUAAUGAAGCACCGAGGUUAUUGAAAUAUAACUGUAAUAUUGACGUUGCCGCCAUUGUAUCAGCUAUCGGAUGCAUCAAUGACACCAAAUGGCCUUAACCCCUACAAUAUGAUCCUGCCCAAAGGGAUCCUAAUCAGAUGUGGAAAUAUCACGGCACUCAUGACCAUAAAAUAGAGGAUUGCCGACAAUUGAGAGAGGAAGUAGCCCGGCUAUACAACAAUGGACAUCUUCGAGAAUUCCUGAGCGACCGAGCCAAGAAUCAUUUCAAAACCGAGAUUCUAAUAAAUAGACCGAGCAAGAAGAACCUCAACAUUUCAUUAACAUGAUCACCGGUGGGGUCAAUAUUUCCCAAGAUCCGAUGCUAAAACGCACCAAAGUAUUCAUCAUAAGGGAAAAAUGGACUCGAGAUUACAUACUGGAAGGGGCUUGUCUAUCAAUAAGAAGGACGUAGAAGGGAUUGUGCAGCCACACAACGAUGUGCUAGUAAUAUCCUAACUCAUAAAUACAUCUAGAGUUAAGUGUGUGUUAAUUAGUCCAGGUAGCUCGGCCAACAUCAUCCGAUCAAGGGUCGUAGAACAGCUCGACCUACAAGAUCAAAUCGUGCCUGCAGUCCGAGGUCUAAAUGGAUUCAAUAUGGCAUGUGAGACCACUAAGGGAGAUAUAACAUUACCAUUAAAUGUCACCGGGACCAUAAGUCUUAUGUGAUCGAAGGAGACAUGAGGUACAAUGCCCUGUUCGGGAGGCUAAGGAUCCACAACAUGAAGGUAGUGCCCUCGACUCUUCACCAACUGUUAAAAUUCACAAUGCCAGGAGAGAUUAAAAAAUCUAAAAGAAGCAACUGGCCACAAAGGAAAUGUUUUCAGUCGAAGAAGUGAUUCUAAUAUCGACACUAGCAACGUCAAAGAAACCAAGCUCAGAUACAAAGAAAUUGGCUAAAUAGAAAUUAUCAACACCGGCCACGACCCAAUCGAAUAAGUCGGGGACUGAUGAAGACGAUGAUUGCGGGGUUCCCAAAUCUUUCAUAGCCCUUGACGAUUUCAAUGCCACUAAAUCAAUGGCUGAGGAGCUGGAAUAAGUCACAUUGAUUGAAUGUCUACCUGAUCGGAAUGUAUACCUAGGCACGGGGUUAACCCCUAAUCUAAGAAAAAAAUUCAUUAAAUUUCUAAUAGCUAACAAGAUUAUUUCACUUUUUCCCAUCUUGAUAUGAUAGGGAUACCACCAGAGAUUACCACAAACAAGGUAAGACUGGACCCAAAAUUUCACCCGGUCAAGCAGAAGAGGAGACCCCAGUCCGAGAUCAAACAUGCUUUCAUCAAGGACGAGGUAUCUAAACUUCUUAAACUAGUAUCCAUUCGGAAGGUAAAAUACUCAGAAUUGAUAGAAAAUAUAGUGGUAGUUCUUCAAAAGGGGAACAAAUUAAGAAUGUGUGUAGACUAUAAGGAUUUGAAUAAGGCAUGUCCCAAGGAAUAUUUCCCUUUGCUCAAAAUCGAUCACAUGAUCGAUGCCACAUCCGACCACGAGAUCCUCAGUUUUCCUGAUGCCUAUUCCAGGGUACAACCAAAUACGGAGGAACCCGGAUGAUCAAGAAUAAACCUCUUUCAUCACUAAGUACGGCACAUACUACUAUAAUGGCUGCCAUUCAAAUUAAAAAAUAUUGGUGAUACUUAUCAACGCCUAGUAAAUCGUAUGUUCAAAGAACAAAUAAUGAAAUCAAUGGAAGUUUACAUUACAGUUAUGCUGGUUAAGUCUCUACGUGCAGAGGACCAUUAAAGCAUUUUUGCAGUAAGCCUUCAACAUGUUGAAGAAAUACAAUAUGAACUAAACCCGAGGUAAUGUGUGUUUGGAGUCAGAUCAUGUAAAUUCCUCGGGUUCAUGGCAACCAGCUGAUAAAUCUAGAUCAAAACUGAUAAAAUCAAGUCCAUCAAGGAUAUCACGAUAGUGGACAACGUGAAGGUUGUGCAAAGGUUAACCGGGCACAUAAACACCCUAAGACAAUUAAUAUCGAGGUCUUCCGAUAAGAGCCACCGAUUUUUCUAGCUUGAAGAAAAAGAACAACUUUACAUGGACCCCAGAAUGUCAACGGGCCUUGGAGGAACUCAAACGAUAUCUCUCGAUCCCAUCGCUGCUUCACAUGCUAAAGAAAAAUGAACAACUAUACCUAUACUUUCCAGUAUCGGAGAUAGCAGUAAGUGGAAUCCUGGUCUGGGAAGAACAAGGUACAUAAUUUCAAGUUUACUAUGUUAACAGGACUCUAGGUGAGGCCGAAACUAAAUAUCCUCACCUAGAAAAACAAGCACUAGCCUUGCUAAGUUCCUAUAGGAAACUGAACCCAUAUUUUCAAUGACAUCCUAUAUGUGUUGUGACAAAUUACCCAUUGCUAAAUAUAAUGCAUAAACCCAAACUCUAGGGAUGAUUGGCCAAAUGUGCCAUGGAAAUCAGCGGGUACGAUAUUGAAUUUCGACCCCAGACAGCCAUUAAAUCUCAAAUUUUGGAAAAUAUCGUGGCCUACUCUUUGCCUGACCUAAUACCCGAUGUCGGAAGAGAGUUGUUGGUAAACUCGGGGAUGUCUUUGGGGAUAUGGACCCUUUUUACAGAUGGCACCUCGAACGCAAAAGGGUCCAAACUUGGCAUCAUAUUGAAGCCACCAACAAGCAAUGUAGUUCGACAAUGUAUUAGUACUAUGAAAUUGACUAACAACAAGGUCGAAUAUGAGGCCAUGAUUGUAGGUCCAGAACUAGUCAAAAGCUUGGGGGCAGAGGUGAUCGAAGCUAAGUGCGACACCCUCCUUGUGGUGAACUAAGUUAAUGGGACAUUCGAGGUCAGAGAAGAACGAAUGCAAAGGUACCUAGAUAAGUUGUAGGUAACAUUAAUUGAAGGAGUGAACUUUGCGACACGUACCUCGGGAUCAAAAUAGUAAGGCCGAUGACCUUGAAAACUUAGGAUCAUUGGUCGAGGAUGACGAGCUCAACUUGGGGGGCAGUCGUACUACUCAUGAGAUCGAUAGUGGAAGAAGGUAACGCCAAAAUAAACACUACAAGCUUGACAUGGGAUUGGAGAAACAAAUAUGUAGAAUAAUAUAAGAAUGGAAACUACCCUUGGACACAAAAGAAUCAAGGACCAUGCGUACAAAGGCAACCCGGUUUAGCUUGUCCAAAGAUGAAACCUUGUUCAGAAGAACGAUUGAUUGUCCACUAGCAAUAUGUCUAGGACAAGAAUAUAUCAAGUACAUUCUUAGAGAAUUUCACGAGGGCGCCUGCAAAAAUCAUUUAGACACCAAAUCAUUGGUUCGAAAGGUAAUCAUAUUCGGCUAUUACUGGAUAGAUAUGGAAAGGAAUGCAAAGGAGUUUGUAAAAAAAUAUGAUAAAUGUCAAAGACAUGCUCCAAUGAAACAUCAACUCGGAGAGCUGCUACAUUUGGUUUUGCCACCCUGGUGGUUCAAGAAGUAGGGAAUGGACUUCGUUGGCCCCAUUCUAUGGGCACCCGAUAUGGCUCAAUUCAUAUUGUUUAUGACUGACUGUUUUUCUAGUGGGCUGAAGCCCGGGCAUACGAGAAGGUCCGGGAGAAAGAAGUCAUUGACUUUAUUCGUGACCAUAUCAUUGUCAUGCCACAAACCUGUGGGGCGAGAUCGGCACCCGGUGCCUCACCAAUCCUUCUGUACCAACUUGCGACUAAGGGACUCAGAACAUAUAAUGUCAUAAUUUAGCCAUGGGACCACAUUGCAAGUCAAAUUGCGAAGCAAAAUAUAAAAUUGAAUGGGAACUAACGCUAACUAAACAUCAAUAUAAAGUUGUGCCGACAAGGACGUCAUAACUACUACAAUUGACAAACCAAAAAAAUAUACAUAAAAGGCCUACAAGCCCAACAUAUUGCACUAACAGACAUGAUAUGUCUACAAGACUCUACUAAUGGAUAUACUGGUGAUCGGAACAAAGCCCACAUACCCAUAACCUAUAUACAUAUAUACACAAGAUGUCAUAAAACACUAGACCUGACAACUCUGUAGGACGUGGAGCUUACCAACAAAGCUAAAUCGGGCAACACCUAAUGAGAAGGUCUACCCAUCUAUCUGUUUGAACCUACACGCAUUAAAUGCAGCGUCCUCAGAAAAAGGGACAUCAGUACGAAAUAAUGUACCCAAUAUGUAAGGCAAUAAAAUAUUUGAAAGCUAAAAUUUAACUGUAUAAUAACUGAAAGUAACUGGGAGUCAAAGAUGAUCUGGAGAUACACUUACCUAGUGAUAUUGACUCAACUUUCUCAAUAUAGAGAGUAAAAUAAAUGCCCACCCCUAUAAGGCUCGGAACGUGUAACUGCUUUGGAGUAGUGGCCUCGCUCAUAGGUGCUCGGCCAUACUAGGCUCUAUAUCUCGGCCAUUUUAGGCUCGCUCAUAGGCGCUCGACCAUAGUAGGCUCGGUGUAUAACUUACCAUCUAAUUCGAGGCUGCCCAAUAGGGGCUUGUCCAUCGAUUAUAGCCCGAUGGUGGUCAAAAUACGAUAAUACUAUAUAUAUAUAUAUAUAUAUANNNNNNNNNNNNNNNNNNNNNNNNNNNNNNNNNNNNNNNNNNNNNNNNNNNNNNNNNNNNNNNNNNNNNNNNNNNNNNNNNNNNNNNNNNNNNNNNNNNNNNNNNNNNNNNNNNNNNNNNNNNNNNNNNNNNNNNNNNNNNNNNNNNNNNNNNNNNNNNNNNNNNNNNNNNNNNNNNNNNNNNNNNNNNNNNNNNNNNNNNNNNNNNNNNNNNNNNNNNNNNNNNNNNNNNNNNNNNNNNNNNNNNNNNNNNNNNNNNNNNNNNNNNNNNNNNNNNNNNNNNNNNNNNNNNNNNNNNNNNNNNNNNNNNNNNNNNNNNNNNNNNNNNNNNNNNNNNNNNNNNNNNNNNNNNNNNNNNNNNNNNNNNNNNNNNNNNNNNNNNNNNNNNNNNNNNNNNNNNNNNNNNNNNNNNNNNNNNNNNNNNNNGAUAAUACUAUAUAUAUAUAUAUAUAUAUAUAUAUAUAUAUAUAUAUAUGUGUGUGUGUGUGUAUAUGUGUGUGUGUGUGUGUGUGUAUAGAUAUAUACACCCUCUGCCCUUUUGACUAGAAGAAGACAAUAUUUAGCUGAACAAAAAGUUUUUAUAAAGGAAAAUACAGUAAUUUAUGAGACUAGGAUAAUGUACAUAAGUUCAGCAAUACGAACUUCUUUUAAUGCCUCGUUAUCAAACUCAUAUAGUUACGAGAUCAUGCCAAAAUAAUGGCUUAGCCUUAAUAUAACUGAGCCAAUUCUCUUGACAAUCCCUCUAACAUACAUAAAUUACAACUAACGGCAGAUCGAAGUAGGAGAAAAUCCAUAUGAUAUUAUUGAGAAAUAUUGCAAAUCGUACUCCCUUAGAAUCGCAAGCCCCACAUUGCUAUAAUGUUAAGUAGUCGUCGUAUGAAAUUCUCGAAGCAAUAACGUCGCUUAUUGCAAAAUCAUCUUUGAUAAAACUCUUUUUAAUACUGAAGUGUAGGUAUCUCAGAAUGUGUAUCUCUAACUCACACAAUAUGAUAAUUGCACCAUUUUCAGAUCAUUUUCCUCGCCUUAAGAUUGGAAAUAAUCCUACCUCUAGGUUUCACUGUAUUACAUACCCAUUCAAGGACUGGCUCACCCUGGAAAAUAAAAUCUGGCUGUCUUUACUUGACACUUAACUGUGGCAUAGAAAGCUACCAACCAGUCCAUGCCCAUGAUAACAUCAAAAUCCAAUAUCUCUAGCUCAACUAGGUCGGCUAAGCUCUGACGACUACAAAUUGUCACCGUACAACCUUGGUAAACCCGUCUAGUAAUAAUCAGUUCUCCAAUAGGUGUAGAUACCGCAAAAGGAUAACUUAGUAUUUCAGGAAUUAUACCAAAUUUCCCCGCUCCAAAUAGGAUAAUACACGAUAAAGUAGAUCAUAGGUCUACAAAGGCAUAAGCAUCGUGAGAGAAAAUGGUCCAACAUACAUGUUAAAACAUCUGGUGAAAACUCUGGGUCCUAUCGGCCCGCUAAAGCGUAGCUACGAUUUUGCUUACCAUCUGUACUGGAACGUCUACCUCUUCCUUGACCUCUACCAGCCGAAGACUGAGACUCGCACCCUGAAGGAUGCACGGACAUAGAUAAUCAUGUUGCUGAACUCGCUGGUUGUGACAUACCCCCAGAAACUCUAUGUGGGAAAUCUCGCAUCAUAUGCCCUAGAUGCCCAUGUGUAUAAUAAUUAUCAUAACCGGAUCGAUAUUAACCCAAGCUUCCUCUACUGUAGAUGUCACAUCAUGAUAGAAAUUACCAUGUCUUCCCUGAACCUUGUUCUCGCUACAAACCAGACGCCUGUGAGCUCUCACCUGGUCUAGACUGAGCAUAACGGUCAUACCUGUAACCUUGUAACGGAGGUAGUGGAGGCCUAGGUGGUCGUCCAAAGUAUUUGGUACUAUAACUACCCUAAGACUGCUCUUGAGACUAGGCAAAUCUCAUCCUCUUAUGCUUCCCUGACUCGGUCCUCUUUGUUCCCUACUACUUAUGCCUACUUAUUUCUACAUUUUGGGCGAAUGCCUGAAUACGGGAGAUAUCUAUACUAUCCAUCAAUGCAGCGGUGGCACAUGCCUCGGUCAACUCUAGAGCCAUCCCUGCAACAAACCUGUGGAUCAUGUCAUGUAUAGUAGAAACAAUGGAUGGUGCAUAUCUGGCCAAUGAGUCAAAACGGAGAAUAUUCUCUCAAACACUCAUAUUGCCUUUCUUGAGGGUUGGGAACGGAUCAACUCGAGCCUGUCGAGUCUCCCUCAAGUAAGUAUUGAUCAAGCAAGGCAUCCGAAAAUUUUUCCCAAAAAGAUAGAGGAACAUCACAUCCCCUGGACCUCUCCCACCCCUCAUGCCAAAAAAAUGGCUAUAUCUCGGAGUCGAAAAGCGGCUAGCUCAAUUGUCUCUUUCUUCAUGGCAUGCAUAAUCUGCAAGAUCAUGUGAAGUUGAUCUAUGAAAUCCUAUGAGUCCUCCCUCUGAUCUGUCCCCAUGAACUCUGGGGGACUUAAAGCAAUAAACUCUCGGACCCUUGAAAUAUUAGACCGCUCAGAAUAUCCUGCACUACCAGAUGCCUUAUCGUGUUGCUGGGUAGCUACCAACGGUGUCAACAAAUGCACCUCACUCCUCAAGUCUUGAUCUGAUGGAAGCGGGGGGAACUAGAUGUGCGGUCUCCCUAGGCAUAUCCUCAGGUGGUGGAGGAGCCGGUGGGUGUCUUCUUGGGUGUCAGAUUAAGCACCAAAUACUAGAGGUACCCUGGUUGUCCCCUCUCCUACUAUUGUAUCUCUCCUAUGGUUAGCCGUAGUCUUCCUAGUUACUAUCAUUUGUGCAUGCAAAUGCCAACAUGUAAGUUUAAUUCAUAUUUCCUAUUACUCAGUUCUACAACACGAUUUAGAUUUGAAAAAAAGUUAACCAACUCCUAAAUACCCUGUAGUCCCCUGCUUGUAUAAUGUGGUGCACAACACAUCUAUAAAUAAGACCGUACUAGACACGACUUGUAGACUCCCUAGAACAUAACUGCUUUGAUACCAAGUUUGUCACACCUUGAACCUAGGGGGGAUACCGGCACCCGGUGCCUCACCUAUCCUUACGUACCAACUUGUGACUAAAGAACUCAGAACAUAUAAUGUCAUACUUUGCCAAUGGGGCCACAUUGAAAGACAAUCUCUAAAGCAAAAUAUAAAACUGAUUGGGAAGUAACGCUGACUAAAUAUCAAUAUAAAUCUGGGCCGACAAGACCGUCAAACUAUUACAGCUGACAAACUAACAAAAUAUGCAUACAAGGCCUACAAUCCCAACAUACUACACUAACUGACAUGAUAUUUCUACAAGCCUCUAUUGAUGGAUUUACUGUGAUUGGAACAAGGCACCGGCGUACCUACAACCUAUAUAUAUACAAAAGAUGCACACAAAACUCUAGACCCGGCAACUCCAAAGGAUAUGGAGCUUACCGAUAAAGCUGAACUCGAGCAAAACCUACUGAGGAGGUCUACCCGUCUGUCUUUAUGAACCUGCACGCAUGAAAUGCAGCGUCCCCAGAAAAAGAGACGUCAGUACAAAAUAAUGUACCGAAACUGAAAGCUAAAACUUAACUGAUAACAUAAUAACUAAAAGUAACUGGGAGUCAAAGAUGGUCUGGAGAUACAUUUACCUGGUGAUACUGGCUCAACUUUCUCAAUAUAGUAAGUAAAAUAAAUAUCCAGCCCUAUAAGGCUCGAAACGUGUAACUACUCUGUCGUAGUAGGCUCGCUCAUAGGUGAUCAUCCAUACUAGGCUCUAUAUCUCGGCUAUUCUGGUCUUUCUUAUAGGUGCUUGGUCACAGUAGGCUCGGUAUAUAUCUUAUCAUCUGAUCAAAAGUUGCUCAAUAGGGGCCUGCCCAUCGAUUAUAGCACGAUGGGAGAAAAGAUACUGUAAUAAUGUGUGUGUGUGUGUGUGUGUGUGUGUGUGUAUAUAUACCCCAUGCUCUCUUGACUGGAUGAAGAUAAUAUUUAACUGAAUAUAAAGUCCUGAUAAGGGAAAAUACUGUAAUUUAUGAGACUAAGAUAAUGUACAUAAGUUCAAGAAUAUGAACUUCUUUUUAUGCCUCGUUAUCCAACUCAUAUAGUUAUUACAUCAUUCCAAGAUAAAGGAAGGACUUAUCCUUAACAUACCUAAGUCGAUUUUCUUGACAAUUCCUCUAACACACGCCAAUUGCGACAACACAUAAUGGCAUAUCAAAGUAGGGGAAAUCCGUAUAUCAAGUAGUCUCUGUAUAAAAUUCUUGAAGCAAUAACAUUGAUUAUGGGAAAAUCAUCUUUGAUGAAACUCUUUCUUAUGAGAUGUAACAUUGCUAUUCAAUGAAUAUUUGCUGAAACUCUUUCCUCAACAAUUGAUUUUGAACUAGAAAUGCUACUUUUAUCCUUUAGGUGGGCCCUACUUAGGAUGACUAACCUUUCCUAAAGGCUUCUAAUUUGGUCACCUAAAUGUAAUGAAUCUUACUCAUUACUUGGGGCUGCCACGUUGGGUUCCUUGGUCUUAUCCAAGGUUGUUAAUUAAUUACCCACUAAUUUUAAUUAAGUUGUUAAUUCUCCCAUUAAUCAAUAAUGCACAUAUUUAAGAGUUAUCUCAAAUUACUUAAAUACCACUCAUUUUUAACACACUUUAUACAUCUUUACUAUCAUGGUCAUGUGGUACCUUGUAUGAUACUAGUCCAUAAAUAUGGGGUAUUAUUGCUUGAACCAAAUUGUAUGUUCCCGUAAAUAAUUUUGUCUCAAAACUUAGUAAACAGUGGAGUCUACUCUGAUUAUGUGUUAUGAAUUUUGCUCGCCGCGGUUUGGACCCUUGGUAGUGAUUUAAUCCUUUAAAAUUUAAAAGAAUUAACUAUUCCAGAAAAGUGUCAAAAUGCGGUCCAGAAUGCGGUCGCAGAUCAGCUAUGCGGACUGCAUUCCUACCGCAGAAUGAAUCAGAGAGCAACAAAUUUUGAUGUUGAAAAUGCGGUCAAAUCUGCGAUCGCAUAAUCAAUAUGCGGACCGCAGAGUAAUCGCAUACUAUCCCUGAAGAAAUUCAAAGGUCAGUUCUCCGGUGAAUUCUGCGACCGCAGAACGCAAAUGCGGACUGCAUAGUCACCGCAUUCCCAAUGCGAGAGGUUUGAAACUUGAGCCAUUUCUGCGGACCGCAUGUCAGUUCUGCAAUCGCAGAUAGGCAUCGCAGAUCGUGUUGGCUCAGUUAUUUUCUAAAAUUUUAAGCUCGACCCCUCUUUUAAUAAAACACCCCAUCUCUCAUUUUUAACCCAUUUUCUGAACAAAAUAAGAUAGAGGAAGAGUUGUUUCUAGAGAGAGAAAGCUAUUUAUUCAUCAAUUGAUCUUUCAAAAAUCAUCAAAUCCCGGUAAAUCUUGAGCAUAUGCCUUCCCCUUUGAUUUCAAGGUAAAAUCCCUAACCCUUUUCCCUUAAUUUUCGAACUCAAGUUUGGGGAGGGAGUUUCAUACUUUGAUUUUGAAAAUUCUUGUUAGAAAAUCCAUAUGCAUGUCUUCAAAACCCAAAAAUCAUGUAAAAAGGGAACUGGGUAGUAAAUUAUGAAUUCUCAUUCUAAAGGUAUAUGUAUUAUUCAUGAACUAGAUUGAUCCUUCAUGAUUGCUUGAUGAAUUGGAGUAGAGAAUAUUCAAUUCCGGGUAUGUAUGGCUAACUGUGAUCCUCGUGAUAUCGCCUAUGCUGGUUGUGAAAUUGUUGAUAGUUGAUAUUCAUCUGAAAACCAUUGUGAAGCUUUCGUGUUGUACAAAUUGUGUGGUAGUACCUUGUGGUGAAUGUUGUGGAACUUUUAAUUGGAACAACAGAAACGGAAAUAAUGUGGAAUAGCGGGAAUGGAAAUAAUGUGGAACAGUGGAAAUAAAAAUAUUGUGGAACAACACGUGUUAUUAAUUACGAGUAGUUGUAGAAACGGAAACAAUGUGGAACAAUGAAAAAAUGGAAACAAUGUGGAAUAAUGGAAAUGAAAAUAAUGUGAAACAUUUGAAAUGAAAAUAUUGUGGAAUAAUGUGUGGUUAGUUGUGAAAAAUUAUUGUGAUAAUCUAAAUUGUGUAUCAACUUUGAUGAAUAUGAGGAAAAUUGUUGUUGCUAGUUGUGGGAUGUUAAUACCCUUGUUGUGGAAUUAUUUUAACAAAGUGUCAUGGUUGAACNNNNNNNNNNNNNNNNNNNNNNNNNNNNNNNNNNNNNNNNNNNNNNNNNNNNNNNNNNNUAAAUGUCAAAAUGUGAAAGGAGACAGCAUGAGAGUUUGUAACCUGUGGGGCACUGAUUGCCCCUUUGUAUGACUACAUGAAUAACUGUUGUGAAAUGUUUGGUUGUUUCUUCCUGGUUGUACUUGUACUAUUGUUGUUCAGUUCUAUACUUUUUCAUGCAAUUUGGCUUGAGUUUACUUGGGACAGAGUUAGUUCAUACAUGGCAGUACAAUUCAAGUGUACUGACGUCCCUUUUGCCGGGGGCGCUACAUCGUGUUAUGAUUGUAGGUAGAUCCGUGGCAGGCACUCCAAUCCACCGAUUGUAGCUCCUCCUCCUCCUCUCUAUCGGCAGUAUUCAUGUUUGGUGAGCCCCUUUCCUUCUGCGGACAUGUGUGGCCUACGCCACUCAUGUUGUUGUAUGUUGGAGUUUGUAUCUUUUGGUAAAGGUAUAGCUGGGGCCUUGUCACCAGCAAGUGUUGUACUACCAUUCUCGUAGAGGCUCCGUAGACACUGGUAUGUGGGUCAGGACUUAUGUAUAAAAGUGUAUGUUUGGGCGUUGUAAACUUGUGUACCAAUUCUCGUAGAGGCUCAGUAGAUAGUGGUAUGUGGGUAUGGACUUCUGUAUAAAGGUGUAUGUUUGGGUGCUGUAAACUUGUGUACCACGUUCCUUGCUAAUCAAAUAUAUGCUUUGUAAAAGGUGUCCCCUGUUAAUCAUAAUGUGUGGUUAUAAAAGAGAAAUCUGACUUUCUUUUAAUUGAAAUAUGGUAUCUUUUGGUUAACUAUCACUGAAUAAUGUGGAGUAACGCGUGGGGAAUAGGAAAGGCACCCAGGUCCACUCGACUGGGGAUACCCGGUUGAGUGACGGUCAUGCCCACAUAUUUGGGGCGUGAAAAACUUGGUAUCAGAGCCAUAGGUUUUGAAGGAGUCCUAGGAUGUCUCGGAGCCAUACCUAGUAGAGCCCUUCUUAUUGGUGUAUUGUCGACCACAUCUAUAAGUUGGGGGCUACACGGGAAUUUAGGAAAAACUAUCCUCUUCUUUGAUAAUCAAGUUCAUGCGGUGAAAUGAUCUUAUGUCGAAUUCUUGCUCUAUUUCAAAUUUUCAGUUAUGGAACCUAAGAAGAAAGCUAGACUUGGUCUAGGGCCAAUGCCUCUUCUAGUGCGGCUGUGGAUCAUGUGCCGACUGCCGUGGGGGAGAAUGAUCNNNNNNNNNNNNNNNNNNNNNNNNNNNNNNNNNNNNNNNNNNNNNNNNNNNNNNNNNNNNNNNNNNNNNNNNNNNNNNNNNNNNNNNNNNNNNNNNNNNNNNNNNNNNNNNNNNACAGACAUAGAGGCCGAUCCGCAAGAAUUCCUUGAUGAUAUGUACAAGACCCUUCGGGUAAUGAAAGCUACAGAGAUAGAAGGGGUAGAAUUGGCUUUGUACAGGUUGAAGGGAGCUGCGCGUUCAUGGUUUGAUAUGUGGGAGGAUUCCCGUGAGGAGGGGAGCCCUCUAGCUAGAUGGGAUGAGUUUGUAGAUGCCUUCAUGGACCACUUCAUGCCUGCCGAGACCAUGGCAGCCCGUGCCACUGAGUUUGAAGUUCUUAAGCAGGGUAGCAUGAGUGCUUGGGAAUAUCAUAUGGAGUUCGUGAGGUUUUCCAAGUAUGCUCCUCAGUUGGUAUUGACAAUAGAGGCCAGAGUUUGGCGAUUCGUUUAGGGUCUCAGCCCUUCGGUGGUAAAUGAAGCUGCAACAGCGGCUUUGCAUUUAGACAUGAAUUAUGGAAAGAUCGUGGGUUUUUCUUGGGCCACAGAGGCCAUAAAUUUGAAGAUUCGGGCUGAGAGGGAGAGUAGCAGCAGGGCCCGGUCUAUGGGUCACUCAGGGAGGUCAGCUCUAGGGAGAGAGUUAUCAGGACCGUCUCAGUCUUAUGAUCAGUCCUCAAUUAGUGCACCGCCAUCCAUGCACCGUUCCCAGCAGAGUGGCCCUUCGAGGACAAGUUCAGGCAUCAGGAGGACCUGCCAGUUCAGUCAUUCGUGGAUGAGACCUUGACAGCAGGGGGUAUAUGCCCCAAGUGUGGGAGAUUUCAUACAUAGGCUUGUUACUUGGAUGCUCCAGUGUGCUACAAUUGUGCAGUUAGAGGUCAUAUGCAGCGAGAUGUGCACCCAGGCAGGGAGCGGGUGGGGGCCAUGCUCAGCCCUCCAGUUCAUCAGUUGCUACAUCAUCACUGCGCCCUCCAGCCCCAGCAGGGCGUGGUGCAGCUAGAGGUGGAGCUCGUGGUAGGGGAGGACCCAGCAGGUUUUAUGCAUUGAGUGGCCGUCAGAGUGCCGAGGCUUCCCAGAUUUUUUCUCAGGUAUCUUAUCUGUUCAGACAGUUGAUUGCUAUGCUCUUAUUGAUCCGGGAACUUCUUUGUCCUAUGUCACUCCAUUUGUUGCUUCGAGUUUUGGGAUUGAACCUGAACAACUUCUUUAGCCGUUCUCUGUAUCGACUCUGGAGGGCGAUUCCAUUACAGCAUUCUUUUUCCUAUGUCACGCCAUUUACUGCUUCGAGUUUUGGGAUUGAACCCCGAACAGCUUCUUGAGUCAUUCUCUCUAUCGACUCCAUUAGGCGAUUCCAUUACAUCCACGCGAGUCUAUAUGAAUUGUGUUGUUAUGGUAUGUAGUCGUGUUACCACGGCCGACCUUAUUGAGGAUGGGAUGGUGGAUUUUGAUGUAAUCAUGGGGAUGGAUUGGCUCUAUUUGUGCUUCGCUAAGCUUGAUUGCUGGACGAGAGUCAUGAGACUCGAGUUCCCUAAUUAUCCGGUUGUUGAAUGGAAGGGAAAUGGUGUUGUGACGAGGGGUAAAUUUAUUUCCUACCUCAAGGCUUCGAAGAUGAUCAGAAAAGGGUGUAUUUAUCAGUUAGUCCGGGUGGCAGACAUUACUCCAGAGGUGCCUUCCCCCGAGUUAGUGCCAGCUGUGAAAGAGUUCCUUGAGGUAUUUCCAGAAGAGCUUCCAAGCAUCCCGCCAGAUAGGGAGAUCGAUUUCGGGAUUGAUGUAUUUCCAAAUACCUAGCCAAUAUCUAUUCCACCAUAUAGAAUGGCACCGGCAGAGUUGCGGGAUUUAAAAGAGCAGUUGAAGGAUCUAUUGGAGAAGGGGUUUAUCCGGCCAACUGUGUCUCCGUGGGGUGCUCCGGUUCUUUUUGUCAGAAAGAAGGAUGGGUCGCUUCGGAUGUGUAUUGAUUAUCGGCAGCUUAAUAAAGUCACCAUCAAGAAUAAGUACCCUUUGCCUCGGAUGGAUGACUUUUUCGAUCAAUUGCAAGGUGCAAGGUUCUUCUCAAAAAUUGAUUUGAGGUCCGGGUACAACCAAUUGAAGAUCAAGGAGCAGGAUAUUCCUAUGACUGCCUUCAUAACUCGUUAUGGCCACUUUGAAUUUUUGGUCAUGUCUUUUAGGCUAACCAAUGGCCCGACGACUUUUAUGGAUCUUAUGAAUCGGGUCUUCAAGUCAUUCUUAGACUCCUUCAUGAUUAUGUUCAUUGAUGAAAUCCUCGUAUAUUCGCGAAGCAGGGAGGAUCAUGCCAAUCACCUCAGAGCGGUUUUGCAGACUUCUCGUGUAUUUGUGGAGCAGGGAGGAUCAUGCUAAUCACCUCAGAACAGUUUUGCAGACUUUUCAUCGGCACCAAUUGUAUGCCAAGUUUUCCAAAUGUGAAUUUUGGUUGGAGUCCGUCGCUUUUCUGGGUCAUGUUGUUUCCAGUGAGGGGGAUCAGGUGGACCCCCAUAAGAUUGCGGCGGUGAACGAUUGGCCUAGACCCAUGACCCCAGUGGAGACCCGUAGCUGUUUGGGGUUAGUAGAGUAUCAUCGGAGGUUUGUAGAGGAUUCUCCACCCUCGUCUCCCUAUUGACCAAAUUGACGCAGAAAUCAGCCAAGUUCCAGUCGUUAGAUGCUUGUGAGAAAAGUUUUCAAGAACUGAAGACAAGGUUGACUUCGGCACCAGAGUUGGCUUUGCCAGAGGGAACUGAGGGAUUUGUGGUUUAUUGUGAUGCCUCCAGGGUUGGUUUAGGGUGUGUUCUGAUGCAGCACGGAAAGGUCAUAGCAUAUGCUUCCAGGCAACUCAAGAAUCAUGAUAAGAGUUAUCCGACGCAUGAUUUGGAGCUUGCGGCAGUUGUGUUUGCCUUGAAAAUAUGGCGGCAAUAUCUUUAUGGAGUUCAUGUUAAUGUGUUUUCAGAUCACCAGAGUCUCCAGUAUUUGUUCAAGAAGAAGGAGCUAAAUUUAAGGCAACGGUGGUUGUUCGAAUUGCUUAAGCAUUAUGAUAUGGACAUCUUGUACCACGUAUUUGUUCAAGCAGAAGGAGCUAAAUUUGAGGCAAUGGCGGUGGCUCGAAUUGCUAAAGGAUUAUGAUAUAGACAUCUUGUACCAUCCAGGGAAAGAGAACGUGGUGGCCGAUGCCAUCAGUCGAAAAUCCAUGGGUAGUUUGGCUCACUUGAGGGCGGAUCAGAGGCUCCUAGCUCGAGAGAUACAUAAGUUUGCCAGCCUUGGGAUUUGUAUCUCGGUCCCGAAUGAAGAGGAACUUAUGGUGCAUACUACAGCGAAAUCGUCACUCAUGGUAGAGGUUAAAGAAAAACAGUUUGUUGAUCCAACAUUGGCACAAUUGAAAUAGGCAUAAGAGAACGUGGUGGCCGAUGCCAUCAGUCGAAAAUCCAUGGGUAGUUUGGCUCACUUGAGGGCGGAUCAGAGGCUCCUAGCUCGAGAGAUACAUCAGUUGGACAGCCUUGGGGUUUGUAUCUCGGUCCCGAAUGAGGAGGAACUUACGGUGCAUAAUACAGCGGAAUCGUCACUCGUGGCAGAGGUUAAAGAAAAGCAGUUUGUUGAUCCACCAUUGGCACAGUUGAAGGAGGAAGUUCAAAGCAACAAAAUUUUUUGCAUUUUCGCUCGGCAGCGAUGAUGGUGUGCUACGGUACCAUGACAGGCUGUGUGUCCCAUAUGUGGAUAAUCUUCGGGAGAGAAUAAUGGCAGAGGCUCAUCAUUCCAGGUAUUCAAUGCACCCGCGCUCUACGAAGAUGUAUCACGGUCUCAAGGAUACCUAUUGGUGGAGUGAUAUGAGGAAGAGUGUACAAGACUUCGUCUCUAAGUGUCCGAAUUUCCGGCAAGUGGAGGCCGAGCAUCAGCGGCCGGGAGGGUUGACUCAGCUUAUAGAAAUACCAAUGUGGAAAUGGGNNNNNNNNNNNNNNNNNNNNNNNNNNNNNNNNNNNNNNNNNNNNNNNNNNNNNNNNNNNNNNNNNNNNNNNNNNNNNNNNNNNNNNNNNNNNNNNNNNNNNNNNNNNNNNGGAAAUGAUCAAUAUGGACUUUGUGACAGGACUACCUCGUACUCAGCACAAGUUCGACUCAAUUUGGGUAAUUGUGGAUAGGCUCACCAAAUCAUCUCACUUCUUGUCAGUCAAGUCCACCGAUACUGCGGAACAAUAUGCGCGAUUGUAUAUCAAGGAGAUAGUGAGGCUUCAUGGUACGCCACUUUCUAUCAUUUCGGAUCGAUCUUAUAGAGUUUGCUUAUAACAACAGCUUCCAUGCUAGCAUCAGAUGGCCCCGUUUGAAGCAUUGUACGGAAGAAGGUGUAGGUCCCCGAUUGGGUGGUUCGAAUUUGGCGAAACGGAAUUAAAAGGGUAAGAUCCCGUGCAUCAGGCCAUGGAGAAGGUAAGAGUCAUUCGAGAAAGGAUGAAGACUACUCAAAGUCGCCAGAAAUCCUAUGCGGAUGUGUGUCGGAGAGAGUUGAAGUUUCAAGAAGGAGAUUGGGUAUUCUUGAGUGUUUCCCCAAUGAAAGGAGUCAUGCGCUUUGCGAAGAGAGGAAAACUAAUUCCUAGGUACGUCGGUCCUUAUCAAGUCCGUCAAGAUUGGUCAAGUUGCGUAUAGGUUGGAAUUGCCCCCUGAAAUAUCCCUAGUGCACCCAGUGUUCCAUGUAUCCAUGUUAAGGAAAGUUGCGGGUGAUUCGUCUAAGAUCGUGCCAGUUGAAGACAUCAAGGUUACAGAGAGUUGUCGUAUGAAGAGAUUCCGGUUGCUAUUUUGGAUAGGCAAUUCCAAAAUUUGCGGGACAAGGAGAUUGCUUUAGUCAAAGUGUUGUGCCGAAACCGACAAGUCGAGGAAGCCACGUGGGAAGGAGAAGAUGAGAUGAAGAUGAAAUACCCCCAUCUAUUUGAAUAAGCUAGGAAUAAUCGUGCGAAUCUUGUCCCUAGGGAAGCUAGUUUUGUGUUCCAUUAGGUGUAAGAGUCAUCCGUUCUCUUUCCAAGUGCUUUAUUAUGGUAGUUCUCCAAGUCGUGCUAACAAAAUUUAUGUGAUGUGAUUAUUUGGACAAUGUGAAGUCCUUUUUGGUAAUGACGGUUUUGUGCUCUCAUGAUAAGGUGAUGUAAGAGGCAAUGAUUAAUUUUGCAUGGAUAGAGAGNNNNNNNNNNNNNNNNNNNNNNNNNNNNNNNNNNNNNNNNNNNNNNNNNNNNNNNNNNNNNNNNNNNNNNNNNNNNNNNNNNNNNNNNNNNNNNNNNNNNNNNNNNNNNNNNNNNNNNNNNNNNNNNNNNNNNNNNNNNNNNNNNNNNNNNNNNNNNNNNNNNNNNNNNNNNNNNNNNNUUAAUUUGAUUCCAUGUAGUGUGCCAAAAUGGCUAGAAGUGUGUCGAGGGGUUGAAUAUGUGCAAGUAUGAGAAUUUUGCAUUUUAUAACUGUUGUAAAGCUAGCAAGUCGUGUAAUGGUUCUUAGGAACGUAUUUUGGGGAUUCUCUGACAGGUGGUUAUGUCCAUAUACAAAGGAAACUCUGGAAAAAUUUUUCUAAAACAAACUUGAAAGUUAAUAAAAGGUGUAGAAACUUGCAUAUCAUGUUUUUCAACUCGUUAAUUUCCAAUGUUCUUAUUCGAGGACGAAUGAUCAUAAGCGGGGGAGAAUGUAAGGUCCCGUAAAUAAUUUUGUCUCAGAGCUUAGUAAACUCUGGUGUCUACUCUGGUUCGGACCCUUGGUAGUGAUUUAAGCCUUUAAAAAUUGAAAGAAUUAACUUUUCCAAAAAAGUGUCAAAAUGCGGUCCAGAAUGCAGUCGCAGAUUAGCUAUGCGGACUGCAUUCCUACCGCAGAAUGAAUCAGAGAGCAACCAAAUUUUGAUGUUGAAAAUGUGGUCAAAUCUGCGAUCGCAUAAUCAAUAUAAGGACCGUAGAGUUGAUCGCAUAUUGUCCCUGAAGAAAUUCAAAGGUCAGUUCUGCGGUGCAUUCUGCGACCGCAGAACGCAAAUGUGGAUCGCAUAGUCACCGCAUUCCCAACCCGAGAGGUUUGAAACUUGAGCUAUUUCUGGAGUCCAUUCAGCGGACCGCAUGUCAGUUCUGCGAUCGCAGAUAGGCGUCGCAGAUCGUGUUCGCUCAGUUAUUUUCUAAAACUCUAAGCUCGACCCCUCUUUUAAUAAAACACCCCAUCUCUCAUUUUAACCCAUUUUCUGAACAAAAUAAGAGAGUGGAAGAGAGGGUUCUAGAGAGAGAAAGCUAUUUCUUCAUCAAUUGAUCUUUCAAAAAUCAUCAAAGCCUGGAAAAUAUUGAGCAUCUGCCUUUCCCUCUUAUUUCAAGGUAAAAUCCUUAACCAUUUUCCCCUAAUUUUCGAACUCAGGUUUGGGGAGGGAGUUUUAUACUUUGAUUUUGAAAAUUCUUGUUAGAAAAUCCACAUGCAUGUCUUCAAAAUCCAAAAAUCUUGUAAAAAGGGAACUGGGUAGUAAAUUGUGAAUUCCUAUUCUAAAGGUCUAUGUAUUAAUNNNNNNNNNNNNNNNNNNNNNNNNNNNNNNNNNNNNNNNNNNNNNNNNNNNNNNNNNNNNNNNNNNNNNNNNNNNNNNNNNNNNNNNNNNNNNNNNNNNNNNNNNNNNNNNNNNNNNNNAAAUGGAAACAAUGUGGAAUAAUGGAAAUGGAAACAAUGUGGAACACUUGAAAUGGAAAUAUUGUGGAAUAAUGUGUGUGGUUAGUUGUGAAAAACUAUUGUGAUGAUCUAAAUUGUGUAUCAACUUUGAUGGACAUGAGGAAAAUUUUUGUUGCUAGUUGUGGGAUGUUAUACCCUUGUUGUGGAAUUAUUUAACAAAGUGCCAUGGUUGAUUUCUUGUACUUGUUGUUGUGUUGUUUGUUGUUGUGAAUUGAAAACUGUCAGGCGGGAUCGGGUUGUGCGCCGUAACACGGUGAAAUAAGGUGUGGGUUAGGGUGAUAAGGUGGCCGAGGUAAUAAGGGUGGACGAGGCAAUAAGGGUGGAAAUGUGAUCCAAUAUCACUUGGCCAAGGUAAUAAGGGUGGAUGAGGCAAUAAGGGUGAAAAUGUGAUCCAAUAUCACUAUUGAUAUGAAUAUGAAUCAUGAAAUGAUAAAUGUGAAGAUACGAAAGGAGACAGCUGAGAGAUUGUAACCUGUGGGGCACUGGUUGCCCCUUUGUAUGACUACGUGAAUAGUUAUUGUGAAAUAUUUGGUUGUUGCUUCCUGGUUGUACUUGUACUAUUGUUGUUCAGUUCUACACUUGUUCAUGCAAUUUGGCUUGAGUUUACUUGGGACAGAGUUAGUUCAUACAUGCCAGUACAAUUCAAGUGUCCUGACGUCCCUUUGCCAGGGGCGCUACAUUUGUGUUAUGAUUGUAGGUGGAUCUGUGGCAGGUACUCCAGUCCACCGUUUGUAGCUCCUCUUCCUCCUCUCUAUCAGCAGUAUUUGUGUUUGAUGAGCCUGGCCUACGCCACUCCUGUUGUUGUAUUUUGGAGUUUGUAUCUUUUGGUAAAGAAAUAGCCAGGGUUUUGUCACCGGCAAGUGUUGUACUACCAUUCUCGUAGAGGCUCCGUAGACAGUGGUAUGUGGGUGAGGACUUAUGUAUAAAAGUAUUUGUUGGGCGCUAUAAACUUGUUUACCACGUUCCUUGCUAAUCAAAUAUAUGUUUUGUAAAAGGUGUCCCCUGUUAAUCAUAAUGUGUUGUUAUAAAAGAGAAAUCCUACGUUCUUUUAAUUGAAAUUUGGUAUCUUUUGGUUAACUAUGAUUGAAUAAUGUAGGGCAACAUGUGGGGAAAAGGAAAGGCAACCAGGUCCACUCAACUGGGGAUACCAAAUUGAGUGCCGGUCAUGCCCACGGAUUUCUAGCGUGACAUCGGACUACACGUCACAGCAGUCCAGGUCCACUCGACUGGGGAUAUCCGGUUGAGUGCCGGUCAUGCCGACGGAUUUGGGGCGUGACACAUAUUUUAUCCCAAAUUGCCAAAACUUCAAAGAAACUCAUUUUCUUCGAUUUGCUUACCCUCUCUCCUUCACGAAUUUACUUAUCACGUGUUUGAAAUAGCAUAAUGCUUAUAAUCGUAAAAUAACCUCAUUCUCGAACUUAUGUUGAUUGACUUACAACAAAACUUUAACAUACAAAAAUGCGAGAUGUAACAAUUAUAUGUCGGUUCGGAAUGCCAUCUAAAAUCGUGUGGUACAACGAGAAAUAAUUUAUCAGCAGCAAAGUGACGAAAUUUCUCAAUGACCAUAAGAUCAAAAUGAUCUUAUCAACACCUUAUCACCCUAGUGGGAAUGGAAAAGCAUAAUCAACCAACAAAACCAUACUCCAAAACCUCAAAAAGAGGUUAAUCGAUGCCAAAGGAAAAUGAAAGGAAAUCUUACCCGAAGUCCUAUGGGCAUAUCGUACGACCUCGAAGUCUAGUACUAGGGCUACCCCGUUCUCGCUAGUUUUUGAUGUCGAAGCUCUAAUACUGAUCAAAGUCGGUUAGUCAAGUGUCAAAUUCAUAUAUGUAUCAAAGGAAGCAAAUGACGAGGCCAUGAGUAUGAUCCUAGAGCUAUUAGAUGAAAGGCACGAAUCCACCCUCGUCCAAUGGGCUACCCAAAACCAGCAGAUCGAGAGAUAUUAUAAUCGAAGGUUCAACCUUCGGCACUUCAAUAUCGGGGACUUAGUACUAAGGAAGGUCACACUAAACACCCGAAAAUCGAACAAGUUGGGGCCGAACUGGGAAGGACCAUACCAAAUUCUCGAGAUCACCGGAAAGGAUCGUACAAACUCGGGGCAAUGAAUGGUGAACGACUACUGAAUAACUGGAACAUAACUCACUUGAAGCGAUACUACUACUAAGGUACAACCCCACUUAUUUCCUUUUUACUUAUUUUGAGCUAAUAUUUGCAGGUAAUCAACAAGGAGCGGUACAAAUUUUUAGGUCUAAAAGCAUGCAUUGCACUCUUUUUCUAUUGAACUGGUUUUGUGCCAAGUAGGUUUUCCGGCAAAGUUUCAAACGAGGCAACAAUAUAUCGUGCUAACUUAGAAUAGAAGGACGGUCAUGAACCAGUGUCAAAAAUUGCAUCAAUAGUAUCCGAGGCUUCUCUCUAUUAUUAACCCCAAAUAUUGGGGGACAGUACCAUCGGAUAUCGACUUUAGCAGCGAAAGUAACUUCGUGAUUGAAGGGUCUCGAUAGAUAGGAUUUAACAUAAGGGUCAAACGGUCAAAUAAAUCAUGGCCGCAUAGACUGCUCGAGCCCUGUCACAAAGCAUGUACACAUGUAUAACUAUUUUACACAAGAAUAAAAAGAAGUCUCUUCCUUGCAGAUAAAUACCUUGUCAUUUUAAAAACAAUCUUGCAUUUUUCAAGGAACUUCAUAAAUCUAAUCCCUUUAAAAUAUCGAGCCCAAGGGCCACCUUAAUCUGAGUUCGAACAAUCACUCUCACUUAGGGACUACCAUACGAUAACAAACUCGAAUUGUCCGGGCUAUCAGAGUUCGGGGGCAUAAGACAUAUCAAAAAAUGCUCGAAUUUUAAAGGCUACAGUCAUCCCUAUUCGGGGACUGUUAUCUUAGGCAAGUUAGGAUUACUCGAGGUGCGAAGCCCAUUGGGAAGCAACCAAAUUAAAAAAGCUAUAACCAAAUUAAAAUGGCUCGGAGACGUCCGAGACCUGUAACAAAAAUAACAAGGCCUUAAAAUUUCUUAAACGGUUCUAAAGGCUAUCCUCGAUAAACUAUGAUCUAAAAAAGUCUAAGUACUUUGGGGAAAACAAUUUUUGUCACACCGAACUCUUGCAAAGCCUUAAAACAAAAUAAAUUUGAAGGCAAGAUUUGUUCGAACCUCCGAACAUAUUCUUACUAUUUCAAGCUAAGGCAUUUAGAUCUUUGCAUAUUUAAGUAAAUAAAGCAAAGAGAAAAUUCAAAAGUUGUUGAAGGGAAAAGCCUUAUAUACAAAAUCAAAAAUUCUUUUUAUAAGGGCCAAAUAGCUCCGAUGCAAAUUUUACAAAGGCUAAACGACCUCAACAAAAAGAUAAUACAAAAAACAAAAACAUCUAAUUUUCUCACUUUGUAUCAAUUUAAUAUACGUAUUCUUAAAAUAACUUAUAAAUUUAAUUGUUAUUAGAUUUUGAGGGUAAAUAGAACAGUUCCCUCAGAAUUUGCCUCCAUCAUUAUGCAUUACAUGUAUCGCUGUUUUAGUUUGAACAACUGUGUAACAUAAAUUUAAUCCAAAGUUUACUGGAUAAAUUAUGUAUUUUGUCUUACAUGUAUCGCUGCUUUAGUUUGAAAUUUUUCAAAGUCGUUAGUUGAUAAACAGUCAAACAUACAAAAAUUACUCAUAGUGCAUAUUUACCUUUAGGAGGCAGAAUGCUCUCGGCGCAUUUUAGCAGAGCAAUAUAACAGUACCAUACACGGCGCACAAUAGCAAGGUGCAAUUGACGCCGGAAAUGGCCAGACGCAGGCGAAAUGCAGCUCCGACGACCACAAUAACUCAUCCUCAGCUCGUCACCCCUACUUACUGUGUCACUAGGUUGAAGAAGCUAACAAUACACUUCCGAAGGGUAAUAAAGAGUUGAUUAACACGACUGCAAGGAGAUUCGAAUUUUCUGAAGUGAAUGAACCUGCUAAAUCAGUACAAACUGCUGCUGAAGUUGUCAGAGGUAAUCGAGAUGCACAUAUGGGUAAGGUACUCUCAUUUGUUCCUCCUUCUGGAAAAAAGUUGUGAAGAUUAAUGAGGAAGACCUUAAACCUCAGAUGGAUUACUGGCAGAAUGCACUGGUUGGAUUUGUAAUAGGUGAUAAUCCCAGUGAGAGGAAUAUGAAAAGCUUUGUCAUGCAUGUAUGGAACUUUGUUGCUAAACCUCAAGUUUUAAUGCAUGCUGAAGGCUACUGUAUUUUUCGUUUUAAUAGCACUGAGGAUAGGUGUUGCAAUCAGGGCCUUACACCUAUAGAAAUAAGCCGAUGGUUUUAAAGCCCUGGGAGGUUGAUUUUGAUUUUCAUAAUAAUGUUCUUAGCACUGUUCCAAUUUGGAUUAGAUUUCCUGGCCUUCCAGUGGGCUACUGGUCUACUGAAGUUUUAAGUAAAAUGGCCAGUGCAAUUGGUAAGCCAUUAUACACUGAUAAAUUCACUGCACAUUAUGAGAAGAUCUCAUUUGCCAGAGUUUUAGUUGAAGUAGAUGCUGCUUAUCCUUUGCCUGACCAAUUGGAAAUUGAGACUCCUUAUGGUUCAAAAAUCCAGACAAUUGAGUAUGACUGGAAGCCUUGCUGUUGCAACCAUUGGUUGACGUUUGGGCAUGACAUCUUUGACUGCUGGUAUUCUGCUAAGAACAAUGAACAUAAGGAAGUGAAACAGCUGGACAAACUACCUAGGCAGAAAGGAAAGGGCAAACAGCUAGGUAAAACAGAAUGGCAGGUCAAACAAACUGUAGCAGAGGUGCAGGUAACUCAUGAGGAAGCUGUAACAGAUAAAGUGCUGGGAAAUCAGAUAGUGCAGGAAUCUAGUAGAAUAGAUGAGAGCCUAUCCAAUUCUCAGCAGAUUGCACUGACUGAGGCUGUGUGUCAAGGGGUGCUUGUUACUACAGGAAAUGGAGUUACUUACCAAAUGGUUGACAACUAUGACAAGGGAAAGGCAACAAUGAAUGUGGAGAGUAAUAGGAUCCAACAGAUUGAUCCAGGACCCUCUUAUAGAGGUUCCCCUCCCCUUCUAUGAUUAUAGCUACUUGGAAUAUUAGGGGCCUUAACCAGCCCCAUAAACAGAAGGAAUUGGAAAAUUUCCUUGCUGUAAAUAAAGUAGAUGCCAUGGGAGUAGUAGAAACUAGAGUAAAGGAGCACAAAGCCAAGAAAAUACUGGACAAGGUGGCCAAGGAUUGGAAACCCCAUAAACAGAAGGAAUUGAAAAAUUUCCUUGCUGUAAUAAGGUGAUGUCAUGGUAGUAGUAGAAACUAGAGUAAAGGAGCACAAAGCCAAGAAAAUACUAGACAAGGUGGCCAAGGAUUGGAAGGUGCAAUGCAAUUAUUCUAAGGCUACUAAUGGAAGAAUCUGGUUACUGUGGAAGUCUUACAUUCAAGUACAUAUCUCUUCUAUUACAGAUCAACUUAUUCACUGUUUUAUUGAUGACACAAGAACACAAAUCAAAAUCCAGUUUAGUGCUAUAUAUGGUCACAAUACUACACCUCUCAAAGUUCAACUAUGGCAUGAUCUCAGAGCUAUACAUGGUUCCAAUCAAGAUGCUUGGCUAAUUAGUGGUGACUUUNNNNNNNNNNNNNNNNNNNNNNNNNNNNNNNNNNNNNNNNNNNNNNNNNNNNNNNNNNNNNNNNNNNNNNNNNNNNNNNNNNNNNNNNNNNNNNNNNNNNNNNNNNNNNNNNNNNNNNNNNNNNNNNNNNNNNNNNNNNNNNNNNNNNNNNNNNNNNNNNNNNNNNNNNNNNNNNNNNNNNNNNNNNNNNNNNNNNNNNNNNNNNNNNNNNNNNNNNNNNNNNNNNNNNNNNNNNNNNNNNNNNNNNNNNNNNNNNNNNNNNNNNNNNNNNNNNNNNNNNNNNNNNNNNNNNNNNNNNUUAAACAAGUUUGGGAGCAGGAUUAUAUAGGCUCACCAAUGCAGCAGAUUUGGAGUAAAUUGAAGGCAAUGAAGCAGCAACUCAAAGGUAUAAAUAACCACAUGGCAACCUACAAACAGCAGAUUGUUCGGGCAAGGGAAAGGCUUGGCAGUAUCCAGGUGCAGCUGCAAAGUAACCCUCUCUCGCAGGAAUUGAUAAAUGAUGAAAGAGAUAUACUAGAAGAACUUGAGAAAUGGAACAGUGUGGAGGAACAAAUAAUGAGGCAGAAAUCCAAAGCUCUAUGGAUUGAAUGUGGUGAUGCAAAUACUAAGUAUUUUCAUGCACAAUAGAGGAUCAGGACAGGCCAAAAUAAUAUCACUUCUAUUUAUACUGACACAGGUAUAAAACUAACNNNNNNNNNNNNNNNNNNNNNNNNNNNNNNNNNNNNNNNNNNNNNNNNNNNNNNNNNNNNNNNNNNNNNNNNNNNNNNNNNNNNNNNNNNNNNNNNNNNNNNNNNNNNNNNNNNNNNNNNNNNNNNNNNNNNNNNNNNNNNNNNNNNNNNNNNNNNNNNNNNNNNNNNNNNNNNNNNNNNNNNNNNNNNNNNNNNNNNNNNNNNNNNNNNNNNNNNNNNNNNNNNNNAACCAGUUACUAUGGAGGAGAUUACUGCAGCUGUAACUGAAAUGCCAAAGGAUAAGGCUCCAAGAGUAGAUGGCUUUCCUAUUGAAUUCUUUACUAAAAACUGGGAGGUGGUGCAAGAAGAUAUACUAUCUGCUGCUGAGGAGUUCUUUGAAACCUGCCAAAUGCCACAUAUGAUUAAUACCACUGCAAUAGCCCUUGUGCCUAAAAUUAAAACUCCUACCACUGUAAAGGUAAUGAAUGGUAGCCUUACUAAACCAUUCAUAGCUAAGAGAGGCAUAAGACAGGGGGUCCUAUGUCACCUUAUCUCUUUGUAUUGGCCAUGGAAUAUCUUAACAGAUUACUCCAGCAGCUGCAUAAAGAUGGGAAUUUCAAUUUUCAUCCUAGGUGCAGGAAGCUCAACAUAUCCCAUGUCUGUUUUGCUGAUGACUUGCUCAUGUUUUGCAGGGCUGACUUAAUAUCCAUCCAGAUAUUGCACAGGACUUUCUUCAAUUCUCAGCAGCAUCUGGCCUUAAGGCUAAUGUAAGUAAAAGUGCAAUCUAUUUGGCUGGAGUUCCACUGGACAUCAGAGAAGAGAUUAUUGCAGUUCUGGGAUUCACUGAAGGACAUCUCCCUUUCAGAUAUUUAGGUGUCCCNNNNNNNNNNNNNNNNNNNNNNNNNNNNNNNNNNNNNNNNNNNNNNNNNNNNNNNNNNNNNNNNNNNNNNNNNNNNNNNNNAAGUUGGCUAUUCAUCACUAUUUGCCUCUUAUUGAGAAGAUUACAGCUAGAGUCACUUGCUGGUCAGCUAAACUGUUAUCUUAUGCUGGCAGAACUCAACUGAUUAAGUCAGUGAUCUUUGGAAUGCAGACUUACUGGGCUCAGGUGUUUGUUAUACCCAAGAAAGUCUUGAAGACUAUAAAAGCAAUAUGUAGAACUUAUCUUUGGACUGGUAAAGCUACACUAUCCAGAAGAGCAUUAGUUGCAUGGGACAAUGUAUGUCAACCUCUUUCUUCUGGUGGACUUAAUAUUCUGAGGUUGGAUGUCUGGAACAAAGCAGCCAUAGUCAAAUUAUUAUGGGAUUUGGCUAGGAAAAAGGACUGUUUAUGGGUCAAAUGGGUGCAUACUUAUUAUAUCAAGAAUAGGAAUGUUGACACAGUUGUUGUACCAGCUACCACUUCUUAAGUGAUCAAAAAGAUUCUGGACAGUAGAUCCUUGGUGAUGGACAAUGCUCAGUUGCAGGGUACUCUUACAUGCAAAGUAUAUGCAAGUUGGACAAGUUUCAUAUUCACAAACUGUAUAUUGCUUUACUGCCUAGAUUCACUAAGGUUGCAUGGAAAAACUUAAUGCUUAUUACAAAUGUUCUUCCUAAGCACAAGUUUACUGUUUGGUUAGCUGCUCAGCACAAGCUUCCCAGAGUUGAUAGAUUACAGAUUAUGGGCAUACAAGUUCCAAUACUGUGUGCAUUCUGUAAGCAGCAUGUUGAGGAUUUCAAGCACCUGUUUUUUGAAUGUUAUAUCACCAACAGAUAAUGGGUGAGAAUUUGUGUAUGGCUGGGACACUCCAGGACCAUUGGUUGCUUGGAAAAUGAGGUACACUGGAUUUGUAGCAAGGCUAGAAGCAAGCAAUGGCAGAAUGCUAUCACNNNNNNNNNNNNNNNNNNNNNNNNNNNNNNNNNNNNNNNNNNNNNNNNNNNNNNNNNNNNNNNNNNNNNNNNNNNNNNNNNNNNNNNNNNNNNNNNNNNNNNNNNNNNNNNNNNNNNNNNNNNNNNNNNNNNNNNNNNNNNNNNNNNNNNNNNNNNNNNNNNNNNNNNNNNNNNNNNNNNNNNNNNNNNNNNNNNNNNNNNNNNNNNNNNNNNNNNNNNNNNNNNUUUAGAGGCAGAAAAUGCAAGAAUUGGCAGACUGGAUUGAGCAAGUUAAACUCUUACCCUUAGGUAGCUUACUUAGAUGCAUACUUGUGUAUAGAUAGUAAUAGACAAUAGCUUACUGAAACAGUGUAGUAGUUAGCCCACACUACUACUAAUCUUGAUACAUUGUAAAUAUUUUUUGAUAUUAAUAAUAUUACAGUUUGAUCAAAAAAAAUGAUGGCAAAAAUUUUCCUGCAAGGGUAAUCGACAUUCUUACAUGUACAAACAGACAUUGCCAUAAUUAAGAGUCUUUGCUAAUUAUUGGUCUCAAAGUACUUGGUUUUGGGCUCUAAAUUUGACUUCACAUUUUGACUCGUACUUUAAAUUAGAGCACCAAAAUGACACCUUCACAGAUUUCCGUUACAAUAAAGGAAAGAAUGAAAAGGAAAGGUGUUGAAAAAUAAAGCUAACUUGUCUGGUCAUUUUAAAAGCCUAUUCAUUUAUUAAUGUGAUAUACGUGGCAUUCCAUCUACCAAAAACUUUUGAGGAUAGCGGAAGAAGGGUUUGCUUGUGGGGGGGUCUGUCUCUCAUAAAUUAGGCUUUUUAGAUGUACCUUAGCUAUAAUGUUUAGUAUUUCCUCUGUUUCAUAUUGUUUGACGUAAUUUGAUUCGGCAUGAACUUUAAAAAAAAAAGAGGAUUUUAAAAACUUGUAAUCUUAAAAGAUUAAGGGGUAAAAGAUUGUGGAGCCAUAUCAUUUGUGUGGCUAUAAAAACUUUUCACUAAUGGCAAAAAUGAUAAAAUAAAGAGUUUAAAGUUAAAUUGUUUCCAAAUUUAGAAAUGUGUCAUUUAUUUUAGAACAAACUAAAAAGGAAAGUAUAUCAAACAAUAUAAAACAGAGGGAGUAUUAAUUAAAGAGUCAAAAGGAAUUUGCAAUUUGAAAAUUAAGUAGGUCCCAACUGAUAUUUUUUCAGGAUUUGUAACUUAGUAAUUAAAAAAUCUUAAUACGGAGCACUUUUACUUAAUAAGUAUGAAUUUAGAUUAAUUAAGACAAUGAAUUUUAAACAUUUAAUGAUUAAAAGAAUAGCCCCGUACACCUAAUAUCAUAUGGUUAGCCUAAAUUUUUGCGUAGAGUCAGACCUUUGUAUAAAAACAUUUCUAUAAAAGUUAAGGUUUUUUGGAAUCGAUUUUUAUGUUGUGUUAUAAUAUAUAUUAUUUAUAAUAACACAUCACUAUAACAAUCAGAAAAUAUAGAAAGAAAGGAAAUUGUUAUAGCGAGUUUUGACUUUGACAAAAUAACAUCUUGUUACAAUUUUUUUGUUGUUUUGCUUUAUUUUCCCAGCGAAGUAAAUUUAAAAAAAGGGAUGCAAAUAAGAGUUAGACUAACUUAUUACUAUCUUCACGUCUCUUUGAGGGUUACUUCUUGGUGUUCAUCGGGCGGAUUGGACGGCUUUUUACUCUUAAUGGUUUGGCUUAGCGGUUAUCGCUUUUUAAAUGUAUUAAUCCGUUAGCCACUCGAUAAGAUAUCGGGCGGAUUGGUAUCGGGUUAGCNNNNNNNNNNNNNNNNNNNNNNNNNNNNNNNNNNNNNNNNNNNNNNNNNNNNNNNNNNNNNNNNNNNNNNNNNNNNNNNNNNNNNNNNNNNNNNNNNNNNNNNNNNNNNNNNNNNNNNNNNNNNNNNNNNNNNNNNNNNNNNNNNNNNNNNNNNNNNNNNNNNNNNNNNNNNNNNNNNNNNNNNNNNNNNNNNNNNNNNNNNNNNNNNNNNNNNNNNNNNNNNNNNNNNNNNNNNNNNNNNNNNNNNNNNNNNNNNNNNNNNNNNNNNNNNNNNNNNNNNNNNNNNNNNNNNNNNNNNNNNNNNNNNNNNNNNNNNNNNNNNNNNNNNNNNNNNNNNNNNNNNNNNNNNNNNNNNNNNNNNNNNNNNNNNNNNNNNNNNNNNNNNNNNNNNNNNNNNNNNNNNNNNNNNNNNNNNNNNNNNNNNNNNNNNNNNNNNNNNNNNNNNNNNNNNNNNNNNNNNNNNNNNNNNNNNNNNNNNNNNNNNNNNNNNNNNNNNNNNNNNNNNNNNNNNNNNNNNNNNNNNNNNNNNNNNNNNNNNNNNNNNNNNNNNNNNNNNNNNNNNNNNNNNNNNNNNNNNNNNNNNNNNNNNNNNNNNNNNNNNNNNNNNNNNNNNNNNNNNNNNNNNNNNNNNNNNNNNNNNNNNNNNNNNNNNNNNNNNNNNNNNNNNNNNNNNNNNNNNNNNNNNNNNNNNNNNNNNNNNNNNNNNNNNNNNNNNNNNNNNNNNNNNNNNNNNNNNNNNNNNCGUUAAGAAAAUUGAAUAAUCCAUCCCCAAACCGAUAAGCCGUUAAUAAAAAAAAUUCAAUCCGUUCCCCAUCCGUUAAGCCGUUAAGCCGUUAUCAGUAAGCCGUUAAGCUUCGGUUUGGAUUGAUUUUCGGUUUCGGAUCGAUUUUGAACACCCCUAGUUACUUCAAUAGAGAGGCUUGAGUAAGAAUAAAAUAAAACCAGAGAUGAUAUAUUUAUACAACAAAAAUAUCCCCAAUAAUUCUACGGAGCAUCAUAGUGAGGCUAGUCUAUUAGGAUUUAGUUUUAAACUGCUAGUAGUUAGUAAUGAGUUUUCACUGCUCUUUCGUUCCUCUUAGUGUUGGGCUUUAUCUACCAGUUGUUGUUUUGCUUUCCAUUUAUUUCCUGCUCUUUGCGAUGUUGUUAUAUCUUUCUAUAGUUUUAUUGAUGUUACUGAUAUAUUACCUCUUUUCGUCUUCUUGAGUUUGAAGGUUUUUCGGGAACAAUCUCUUUAUCCAUAUUACCCUUCCCAGAUCUCACUAGUUAAAUUUUACUAAAUUGUUGUUACAGAAGCGGCUCAAGAGAGUAGGUGGCCUAAAGCCAAAUCUUAACAUGAGGCCUUAGACAUAAUUAAUAAAAUUUUCAUAUUUUUCUUUUGACGUUUAUUUUUUAGCCUUUGCAGGUGCAAAAUUGCUAAUUAUCUAUUUAUGAUCAAUUUUUACAGAGCAAUUUUUACGAGGUUAGGUCAAUUUUGCUACUUUCUCGGACACAAUUAAUAUUUUAUUCCACUCCAAAAAUACAAGUGAAAUAAUACAAAAGAAAGAAGACGCAUAUACCUUAAGAAGAUAAAAAAAAGUAAAUAAAAUGUGUAUUUAAAUCUUAAAUAUUAGGUUUUCUUUUAUAGGGUGAAGUUCUCUCCCGAUUGAAGUCCUUCAUCGAUGUGGAAUGAACUUUUAACAUAUUUAACAAUAAUUUAUAAACAUAUAGAAAAAGGGUAAAUUUUGGGGCCUUUUAUUUUUGGGGGCCUAAAGCUUUAGCCUGGGAUCCAGAAAAAGAUAAGAUGUACAUAUACUUUUAAAAUACAUGGAAUGGGAGACCUAUAUAAUUUUACUAAACUAGAGGAAGUAUUGGAGCAAAUCAGUUAAUUACUUUUUUUGUUGGGGGGUUGGCAGUUGGUACGGACAACAAUUUUCUUGAAACUAUAAUUUAUAAGUAGUACUUAUUUAUUUGUAUUAUAAUCUUUGAUAGUUCAAAUUUGGGAUUAUUCUAUAAUAAUAUGUAAACUACUAAACUACUAUUUGUAUAUACGCAAGUACAAAGGAAGAGGGUGGAUUUGGGAAGAAUGAAAAAGAUGGGUUUGAAAUGAACCCCAAAAAAGCAGCAGAGUUUUAAAGCUGCUGAGAAAGAAAUAUAUAUAUAUAUAUAUCUCACACACACACAAUUCUUCAGCUCCAUUAUUUGACAGUCUCUUUUAAGUGUGGCAGAGUACUUCUGCUUCACAACUCCCCAAGCUGGCACCAUACCCCAUUGUCAGCUGUCUUCUUUUCAUAGUGUAACAAAUCAUCCUCAACAACAUAUGGAGUAUUAUCCUACGCUGUUAGAAAACAAACCAACUAAUUCUCAAGGUUAAGUUGUGCCUUAAUGAGCUAUAAGUCACUAAUAUUUAUUUUAAAAUAUAUUAUCUAGAUUACACCUCCCUGAACUGCUGCCCUUCUUCCGAUGCUCAUAAAUGUAAAAUGCUUUGAAUAGUACAUUCUCCCUCAUUUUUUAAUAAUUGUGAUAUUCGGAUUAAUUUGCACAUGUCAACUAAUUUUACAAAAUAUAUAGAGUUCGUUUGGACAUAAAAAAAUUCACUUAUUUUCCAAAAAAAUUUACUUUUUUUUGAAAUUAGCGUUUGUUCAUAAAAUUUUCAAUUUUCAUUUGAAGAUAGCAUUUUAAAAAUUUUCGAAAAUUUUAAAAAAUUCCAAAAAGCUAUUUUUAAAUUUUUCACUCACAAAACUUCAAAAACAACCCAAGAUUACAUCCAUGUCCAAAAACAGCUAAAUUUCAAAUAUCACUUUUACUUGAAAAAGCCUUUUCACCUUUUUUUUGGAAUUUUACAAUUUAUAUGUCCAAACGCCCACUUAAAAUUUCACGCUAACAUACUAAAAUAGUCAAACUGUUUCUAAGUGUAUUUUUUCUUAAAAUUAAUUUUUUUAAAAGUAUUUUUGAAGAGAAGUUACUUUUUAUGCCUCACCAAAAUUGCUUUUGCUUUUGCUCAAAAUUUUUUUUUUCUCUGAAAAUUUGGCCAAAUACUUUAAUUUAAAAAAAAUUAUUAAAAAAAAUAAUUUUGGCUUGGAGAAGCUUAAACACUUACCCAUAAACCCCAUUUUUCUUUAAUUUAGAUACUCCCAAAGUCCCAAUUCACAAGUAUUCACACAUAAAAUAAAAAAUAAAAAAAUAAAAAAAGUAUUCACACAUAUAUUUGGACAUAAAAUAAUCACAAAAAAUGUUUUUUAUUAAAGAAUUGUUUUUAAGGCUUUCUGCUCGACUAUAAAUGUAAAUAAAGUAAGAGGUUCUCUUCAACCUGAAUGGGGGGCACCUUUUUUUUUAUUUAUCAAUGAUUUGACUCAAACAAGGUUGUAAUGAAUGGGCUCAGUAAGUCGGAAAUGGAACUUCUGGCUUCUGCUUCUUCUUCUACUUCUACUACUUCUACUUCCCCCGACUCUCCUCCCAACACUUUAAAAUGUGGUCAAAAAAUCUACUUUGAGCAUGUUGGACCUCAGCACCUCAAAUCAGCAACUGUGUCGUCGUCGUCGUCGUCGCCGCCGCCGGUUACCGGAACUCCGGCGCCGGUGAUGUCCAAGAAAGGAAGAGGGGGUGGUGUGGUUCAAGGUCGGCAACCACCUAGGUGUCAAGUUGAAGGGUGUGAAGCAGAUCUGAGUGAUGUUAAGGCUUACUAUUCAAGGCACAAAGUCUGUGCUACACAUUCUAAGUCUCCUGUGGUCAUUGUUGCUGGUCUUGAACAAAGAUUUUGUCAACAGUGUAGCAGGUGAGGCCUUAUUAAUUACUACUAUAAACAACAACAACCCAGUAUAAUCUCACCGGAAAGUACUGUGUAAGCAGACCUUACCCUAUUCCUGGGGCAUCCUUGGCUCCAAUAACUUCCCACCUUGGCUCCAAUAACUUCCCAAAAACACUAGCUGAUUUCGCGAUAGAGUUACCAGCUACCUGUGUAGCCAUGACAUAGCCGAGGUGCACGCAAACUGGGCUCGAACACCAUUGUCAUAAAAAAUAUUAUUAGUAUUAUAAAAAAAAAUUAUAUAUAUAUAUAUAUAUAUAUAUAUAUAUANNNNNNNNNNNNNNNNNNNNNNNNNNNNNNNNNNNNNNNNNNNNNNNNNNNNNNNNNNNNNNNNNNNNNNNNNNNNNNNNNNNNNNNNNNNNNNNNNNNNNNNNNNNNNNNNNNNNNNNNNNNNNNNNNNNNNNNNNNNNNNNNNNNNNNNNNNNNNNNNNNNNNNNNNNNNNNNNNNNNNNNNNNNNNNNNNNNNNNNNNNNNNNNNNNNNNNNNNNNNNNNNNNNNNNNNNNNNNNNNNNNNNNNNNNNNNNNNNNNNNNNNNNNNNNNNNNNNNNNNNNNNNNNNNNNNNNNNNNNNNNNNNNNNNNNNNNNNNNNNNNNNNNNNNNNNNNNNNNNNNNNNNNNNNNNNNNNNNNNNNNNNNNNNNNNNNNNNNNNNNNNNNNNNNNNNNNNNNNNNNNNNNNNNNNNNNNNNNNNNNNNNNNNNNNNNNNNNNNNNNNNNNNNNNNNNNNNNNNNNNNNNNNNNNNNNNNNNNNNNNNNNNNNNNNNNNNNNNNNNNNNNNNNNNNNNNNNNNNNNNNNNNNNNNNNNNNNNNNNNNNNNNNNNNNNNNNNNNNNNNNNNNNNNNNNNNNNNNNNNNNNNNNNNNNNNNNNNNNNNUAUAUAUAUAUAUAUAUAUAUAGUUGCAUGCAUAUGAUUGAAAUAUUAAAUUAUUGCUUAUGAAGUUGUGGUCCUGCGCCUUUGUGGAGUUUGCUUAUUGUUUUAUUUGGAGAGUUGACUAUGCUGGAUUUGUUAAUUUGUUGUUUGCUAAUUCAUUGGUGCAAGAGGAUUUAUAUAGUAUUAAUCUUUUGUCCAGUUAAGGUGUCUCUUUCAGUCUUUCUUCCCUAAUAUAACAUCCAAAAGCUACUUGAAAGCUGAGAAUUCCACUAUGCUGUGGUUGAAUGUGAUAUGUGUUUGAUUUUGUUUUAGAUGUUCAGUGCAAUUUUCUGCUUCUUGUAGAGGACUCAGCUGGAACUAGAUAUGCUUGUUUUCGUAAAUACAACAACAACAAGAACCCAGUGAGAUCCCACACGUGGGGUCUAGGGAUGGUAGUGUGUGCGCACACCUUACCCAUACUCCGGAGGAGGCUUGUUUUCGUAAAUGGCUUGAAUAAAUACUAGGAUUACUACCUAAUCAAGAAUCAUUCUUCUUAAACCAUGAUUUGCUUUUCUGAAAAACAAAUUUAAUUAUUCAGAAAAAAUGGAAAAAGUACUAGACGUAUAUGUUUGUAGAACUUUUUUUCUGUUUCAAAAUGACUGUCAAAAGUUAAGGCGUAUUGCAUUUGAAAAGAAAUAAUUCUUUCACUUUACUUGGGAAGCAAUAGGAGAUUAACUUUGGGAGAUAUAGCAUACUCCAAUAAGUUUAGUAUAACUACAGCUACAGGAUUACUAAAGUUCGAAAGUUCUAGAUAUGAUCAUGGCUAUACGGUGUGUUAGAGUUUGCAGGAAUUAACUUUUGUUGGUUUGAGGAGGCUGUGGUAAGGUGGUGUUUGGGUUUGUGCUUCACUCAAAAACAUGUGUUUUGUCGAUAAGCGUGAAAAUGUGGAUGGAGAAAAGAUGAUGCAAAUUAGUGUUUUGAAGCCAAGUUACUGGUCAAAGAAAUGGUAUGUCUAAAUUGCUGUGGUUAACACAAUGGAGGCUUUCCUCGUCGAAAAUUGACCUAUCUAUGUUUUUGGGUUAGUUCAUUGAGCAUUCUAACAAAUUUAGUGACAAGAUAACAAAUAUAUUGCAUGGUUCGUUAGAGAAAACAGGGGAAAACGAGAUGAAAAACUCCAAGUUUAGGAGAAAUUACACUGUCACUGGCGCAGAUAUACUCACGUUGAAGUAAUAAUAUCUGUAGAAAAGGGUUGAAUGAUGGAGUUGAUGUAAAAAUUCAACUCUGAGCAGUUUUAUCAGAAAAUAAAUGUUACUGUACUAAAUUACUAUCAGGAAUAAUAUAAAUUCAGUGUUACAUGCCCAUUUUUCCCUCAGAAGUCGAAGCUAUAUAUUUUAUAUGAUGAAUAUGUUUUUGUUCGUUUUGAACAGCAUAACGGAUGCUGAAGAAUUUGGUAAAAGCCAAAAAGGAAAAGGAUAAGACCAAGUAAAUUAAGUUGAGAGUAUUUGUGAAGAGAUAUGCUCUGCUAGUUUGGUUGAUGAAGAGAUGUCAACAAAGCACAGCAGUUAACUUACAUUAUUAAAUCAGAAUACUUAUUUUUUGGUUUUCUUGACUGGGAAAUGGAGUUAUGCUAAUAACUCCUCCUUUCUUUAUUACCCUCUAUCUAGUUUUUAACUUUUUCCCAUUUUUCGUUCUGAGAAGGAGUUGGGGUUGGGGGAAAAUGUAGGAUCUUUGCUAUUCCUCUUGAAUCUAGCUUUCAUUAUGCAUGCAGUAUCGCUUAGAAGAAGGAAUCAUUAACUGAUAAUGCACUUGUCCCAAAAAACGAUUAUCACAAAUGAUAGUGCAAACUCUUUCCAAUUUAACUACAGUUAUUGAAGAAGGAAUCGCUUAGGUGUGUGUUUUUUAUUGCGAAAACCUUUUUUUUUCGCACCAACAUAUUUAUCUGUUCUAUGUCUCAUGCUACUCUUACCCAAGUCUAGACGUGGUGAAGUUCUCUGGCAAACAAUUUUAAAAUUUGUGUUGUAGAGGAUUAACUUCAACUUUAUUUUUGUGUUGUCUUAGUUCAUUCUGCUGAAUUUUCAAUUACUUUGAAAUAACCAAUAUCCUGGAUUUCCAUGUCAAAAGCCCAUUUUUUGAGAUUCACAGAAUUGACAUCAUGCACUGUAAUCAACAAUGAAAAAUAACAACUGCAUACAACAUUGUAGGCAUGAAUUGUAGCCUGAGGCUAACGGGAAUAGAGUGGCUAGGGCUUGAUCAGUUUGCUCGCUGCAAUGAAUAGUACUCUGUGGUUUACCUUGAUUGGCUUGGUUGUUCUAUCUCAGUAUCAGAUAAAGUAACUGCAGCGCCUUUCCAAGCUGAAAUAAGGAUAUAAUAGCUCCAGUGCUAGACCUCUAUUUUUCUGGAGAACAAAAAGAAAUCCAUCUGGAUGCAAGUACUCUUUCAAAGAGUCCUACAUGGAUAAGUAGCUACAUUGUCUAUUCUUUUGAUUGGACAUUCAAUUUAGUGAUCCAAUUGAAGCAAUGUGAUGUGUCUUCUUUUUUAUGAGAAUGGUGCUUGCCUUGCACGAAUUUACUUUCUGCCAUAGAUGGUGUUGAUAUUCAUUCUUACAAGAUCCAGAUUAAUCCUAGUGAGUUGAUUUUUCUUUAAAACAAAAAUGGCAGACAUUUUUUGGUUCUCUGUUAGUUGUUGCCAUGUGUGCAUUAGCUCUUCUGACAAGGGAAAAGUUUUUCAUGUUCGUCUUCUAUUUCAAAGAUAUUUUAGCUGCUAAUUCCUGAUGCGCUUAACAUAAUAACAACAACUAUGCCUUAGUCCCAAACAAGUGAGAUUCGACUAUAUGAAUCCUGACUUCUUUCUUACCACCAACACUGACAGGCCAGCUCACCACGAAAGUGGACAGGUUUGAGAUUUGUUAUGUGCUACUUGCAUUGUUCAAGUGUUUUUAUGGCCAUCAAGGAAAUUACCAGACUGCUCUUAUGCGUCUCCAAUGGGCCCAAGUGUUCCAACCAACCAACUCCAAACUAUUCGCUAUCUCCAUACUCGUUUUGUCUAACCAUCGGCUUUGAUAUUAUGUCAAGAAAGGAGGAGUGAGAGAUUUGGGGAAUGAAGUGCUUGGUUAUUCCCUGAAGCAUCUAGUAACUCGGAAAAGGAAAAGAAAGAACUCCCAACUUCUAGUUACACAAUUAUAGGGAUACCAAACCUUCCCAUAUUUACAAGGAAUGGAUUCUUGCCAUGUAUACAAUUUCUUACACAUUAUGUUAACAUUUCUCACAAUAUAACAGUCCGACAUCACACCAUCUUUUGGGGGGAAAAGGUUAUGGCACUUCAAGCUGAAUCAUGAUUUUCUUUUCUUUGUUUCCACUGCACUUGAUCCAAAUCCUCUAGGUAGUUGAUUUGAUAUGAUACCAUUAAGUUGUUCUUUAUAUGUCAUUUAUAACUCCUUUUUUGCUUCUUGCUUUUGUUAAAUUCUUUCAUUACGUUGCUAUUUGUAUUAUUAAGCUCAUUAUUAUCAUCAAUAGAUCUCGGAAAGUAACAAAUGCUUGUUCAGGUUUUGGUUAAAUCUUAUGUGAUCAAGAGCGCUUGAAUUGUUGAUCUAACUACAAUGAUAAAGUGGCUUGAAAAACAAAAAAUCUUAGAAACCACCAAUUGUGAGGGCUAUCCUCAGCAUUAUUUUGGACAUGUCUAGCCAUAUAAUAUAACUACUUUUACACGGUGGUAUGAUAACAGAAGUGCUUCUAAGGUGCCCAUCGUUAAUUACAUUUGGCUCUUUAUCCAUAUUGCAGUGAUCGGACCUUAUUUUAUUUGUCCGAGCGGUUGAGGGAAUGCCAUAGCUAAGCUGUGUUUCCCAAGAUUUAAAUGGCUUGCUGAAUGAUUUGUUGCAAAUAAGGGGUUUUAAAUAUCAGUAUGUUGUUUAAUAAUAAUGGAAAAUGCUAGUUUGCAAUUGGGAAUAGGGGCUAACAAUAUCUUUGAUCAGUUGCUUCCCUUUGCCUGGAAUUAACUGUUGGUACUUUGCUUCCAGGUUCCAUCGGUUGCCAGAAUUUGACCAAGGGAAACGCAGUUGCCGCAGGCGCCUAGCAGGCCAUAAUGAGCGUCGGAGGAAACCUCCACCUGGAUCUCUUUUGUCUAAUCGCUAUGGAAGUCUUUCUUCAUCAAUAUUUGGUAAGGGUGCUCCUUGCAUAAGACUUCAUGGAGCUUAAGCAUUUCUUUGGCUCUGUUACUUCAUUGCUUACCAUAGUUGUUUUAACAUCUGCACUUGCAGAAAACAAUGGCAGAUCUGGAAGUUUUCUGGUCGACUUCACUGCAUAUCCAAAUCUCACUGGAGGUACAUGGCCAAAUACUAGAUCAUCUGAGCGGGGAUGGGAUAAUCAAUCCAAUGCAUCAGGGAAGCUUCUCCAGAGUCAUUGGCUGAACAAUUCUGAAAAUCCUACAUCCGACCUUGUUCUGCAAGGUUCAGUUUCUAGGGGUGCCAAUUACUCUGGUCCUGGUAUUAUUCCUUCCGGAAACUGCUUCUCUGGAGUCUCAGAUUCCAGUGGUGCUCUCUCUCUUCUGUCAAAUGAGUCAUGGGGCUCGAGGAACCAAUCCUCUAGCCUUGGGGUUAACGGUUUGUGUAACACUGAUGGCGGACAUACUGUUCAGCCAUCGAGUUCCCAUGCUGCUCCCAUCAAUCACUACUCAGGCCCUCUAUGGGGAUUUAAAGGAAAUGAAGCUAGUAGCAGUUCACAUGCAAUACUUCCUGAUCUCGGGCUGGGUCACAUUUCUCAACAUGCUGUCAAUCAGUACUCUGCUGAGCUUGGGAUGGUUCAGCACAGUGGAAGACAGUAUAUGGAACUGGAGCACUCAAAGGGUUAUGAUUCUUCUGUUCAGAAUGUUCACUGGACACUUUGAGUGCCAUCUCCUUCAUAUCUAUCUAUCAUCGUCGUAGGAAGACUAUGGUUAAUAAAUGGCAUCGUGUUUGUAAGGCUGGAUGUUGACUAAUGGCACUUUUUAUGAUGCUACCUUUGUGUAACUCUCCUAGACUCGAUCAAAAAUGACUGUGUGUGGUUAUUUUAUGAAUUGUGUGUACGGUUUAACUUCUUGUUGCUACCGUGUACUUUGCAUUUUUUUUAAAGCAGCUUAGUGUUUUCUUCCGUUGUCCCUUUCUUGAUAUACACAUCGAGGAGGGCAGUGUCCAUCUUACUAAGAGCAGAGAUAUUCCCGUGGAAGGAGGUGGUAAGAAAAUAUGUCAUUAGUUCGAACUAGAACUAAUUAAGAUGUUUAGGUGAUGGUAGCCUUGGAGCAACGGUGAAGUUGUCUCUGCUUAAUCAAUAGGUCAUAGGUUUGAGCAGUGGAAGCAUCCAUUAAUGCUUGCAUUAAGGUAAAUUUUCUACAUUAUCCUCCUAGGGGUCGGCCCUUCUCCGAAUUUUGCAGAAUAUGGGAUUGUUUGUGUACUGGGCUGCCCUUUAGGCGCUAGUAGGUGAAAUUGUUAAGGUGCUUUCUUCUGAUGUUAAUUUUUUAUUUUUUAUUUUGCUUAGAAGAGGUUUACAUUCUUCACUAUGGUAUGUGUAACAUGGGAGUUUUCUGUCCGCUGAAAGUGCUGCCCGCUGUGCGGCAGUCAAGUCCCCACUUGGCUUCAGCCUUGCCUGAUUUUCUUUCGCUUUCGAGGUUUAAAUUUAAGGCAACAUAUAAAAUAAAUGAAGGCACGCAAAUUUAUGGGAACCCUUUCCCAACCUUUUAUAAUGAAUCAAUUACAAAGGAAAUUCUCGAGUUUGGCAAGGUGCUGCCACCCUUGGCAAGCGCCAACUCACAAAAAUAGCGGACACUUGCACGUUUCUACCUAUAAAAGCCCCUGCCUAAGGCGUCUCGUGCUGCCCACUCGUUUAGCAAGGCAAUGACACAUAUUUUGCCAUGCUCAAGCCUUGACAUAGACAACCCUAUGCCUAUAUCUUAGACCAUUUCCCUCCCUAGGUACUUAGCUUGUUUUUGGGCUGCACAGACAGACACACACACACACAGUGUAGUCAGCCCAAAAUUGUUUCCUAGUUUCAGUUGACAUCCCUGAACUGAUAGGACAUGAUCCUCAUGAUCAAAACGUGCAUGUCAUGCCUAGAACAUGCUUCAACACCGUGCAAAGACUCAACCUUAUAAUCAGCAACUCUUGGACAUGGCAGUUGUAACCGCCCAACUGCAUAGCAUGUGCACAGCUGACUAGUUAAAACACCAGGAGUGGUCUGAUCCCCUAUUUGAUCAGACCGCUCUGAGAAAGAUAAAAAGCAAACUCUCAUAGUUCGGAGCCCAGCUCCAACAACUUCUUCGUAAGUGAGGUGAGGGGGGGCCGGCCUCUUUUCCGUACCAAUCCUUAUUUACUACUACAUCUUUUUUGGGGUGUAUAGCUCAGUUGGUAGAGCAUUGGGCUUUUAACCUAAUGGUCGCAGGUUCAAGUCCUGCUAUACCCAAACCUACCUUACACUCUACUAUGAAUAAGGAUGCAUAGUAGCCUUCAAAGAUGACUCUUUGGCCAGCACACGUGAAAACCGCUUCAUAUCCGCUGAUGUGCGCGUUUCUUGGCCAGCUGCUGCACGCCUAAGGCUGGCAUUGCGCCCAGCCUUGGCCUUUGACCCUGCUCCCGCUAAAUGCCAUCGCCACAGCUCGUCGCCCAUGACUUAGCUGCUCGCUCGUCCGCUGCCACAGUUGUUUGUCCUUGUCAAGUCGCCCCAACUUGAUCAAGUCUACCUUUUACCAAUGACAAGUUGAUUUUGGCAUCAAGUCACCAAACCAUGAUGUCAUUCCCAUUGCUAAGUCAUUUGCGCACAAGUAACAUAGGUGCCAGCUCGCUCACCUAAGUCAUGGCAACAUCAUAUUGCCAAUGCCACUGCCUUGGCACUAAGCUGCCCCAUUUUAGCGUCGAUGUCUUCCCAUUUAGCCUUGUCUAGUACAACCCGCCUAGUUCUGUCAAGGUCUUGGCAUUUGCUUGCACGCAGCCCACUCUUGAUUUGGUGUAGUCCGCCACACCUUAGCUCUCAAAUAGAAGUGUAGUCCAUCAUACUUUCCCUUGUAACAGUUUUUGCCAUUGACAAUACCUGCAUUGUCUUGUCGCGCAUAGGCCAAUGGCAGGGCUACCAUGCCAAAAUCCUUGCCACUGCCGUGCCUUCCGGUCAGCUUGUUAAGGGUCUGACAAACCACCCCAACCAGUUGAACUCGACGCCCUUGUCGAAUAGAUCCCGACAUAUGUUGUCAUUUGCAAAGACAUCACAAGUUCAGCACUCGUUUGAGAAUUACAUUGUCCUUGCCCUCAAGUGCAACAUUUUUUUGUUUUCUCAUUGCAUUUCCUGCAUGUCAUUCCCACAGCUAAUCCAGCACGCAACUGACUGAUUUGUAAGAACCCAAACUGAUUUUUGGCACCCACAAACUCGAAAUUCCUGCAUCACUGCCUUUACUUGCUUUUUCUGAAUUUCUAAGCUAAGACAAUCCCUUCCAUGAACAAGCAUAUUGACCCUUUGUCUUGCAGCCUUGUCCAUGGCCAUCUCGACCUCGUCAGGAAUAUGGCUCUGAUACCAAUUGUCACAGGGGUAUUUUCUGUCCGCCGAAAUUGCUGCCCGUUGUGCCGCCGUCAAAUCCCCACUUGGCUUCAGCCUUGCUCGAUUUUCUUUCGUAUUCGAGGUUUAAUACUUAGAAUAAAUUUAAGGCAACAUAAAAUAAAUGAAGGAACACAGAUUUACGGGAACCCUUUCCCAACCUUUUAUAAUUGGCAAGGUGCUGCCUCCCUUGACAGGCACCAACUCACGGUUAAACGAGAACACAAGCAUUUCAAGCAGCGAGCUAAACAAGAAAGUAACCUUCAUUAAGAAUGGCAAUGCAAACAUAUCAUACUCAAAGAUAGCCAAGAAAAGCACCAUUAGGAAGAAUCAUAUGCACUUAUUGGGAAGUCAAAAAAUAAAAUAAGAAAAUCAAGAGUAGGCAGUUUUACAUUUGCUUCCAGAAAAGAGUAUUCACUCAAGACAAACGUGGAACAUAAGUAUAUAAUAAAAAUCAAAACAAAUGACUUACAGGAGAGAUUUGACAUCUAUAAGCCAUAAGUAUUACAUGCGAUAUAUAAGAAGUCAGCAACCAGGAAACUACGCAUCUGGUAUUGCUAAUCACUAACCGUCCUAGAAUCAUUUUGCAAAGCACACCUAAGCCAACUCAGUUUUUGCAUAAAAUGGGUUAAAAGCAAAAGGGAACUGGAUGCUAGUUUCCAACAUAUCAUUUUGCUUAAAUCUUAAUUGCUUAUUUAAGAAAUCAUACGAAAAUGAUAUGGAAUAUAAUACCUCUUCAGUGAUCAGUUCUUCCUCUUCCUCUACCUCUUCCUUUUCUUCAUCCUCCUCUUCCUUUUUCUCCUCUACUACCUCCCUAUUCUCUAACUGAGCCAGUACUGCCUCAGCCUUGUGAAAAUUGCUGACGAUCCUCUUUUCCCUCCAUCGCUCCUUCAGGUGAGAUCCAAAAGUUUCCAUUAGCACUGCUUCUCUCCUUCUAUCCCUGUCGGCCUUCUCCAUUUCCCUCCUCAUCUUCUCUACCUUAUCAUCUUCCUUACCAAUCCCGGCACGGCCCCUUCUGAUUUCUAGCCCUACGGGUUCAGACAUACCCGAGCCUUCCUUGCCUAAUGCUGAUCCAGGAGUAUAUCCCAUUUGUUUCAACAUCUUGAAUCCAAUGUUGGUCUCAGGAAUUGCUGACUCUAAGUUAACUAGAGUUUUCUGGUCUUCUUCAGUCUGCUUCUUCUCUCUCUUGCGCUUUUUGCGUUCUUGCCAGUUUAACACCUUACGUCUCAGGAAUUGCUGACUCUAAGUUAACUAGAGUUUUCUGGUCCUCUUCAGUCUGCUUCUUCUCUCUCUUGAGCUUUUUGCGUUCUUGCCAGUUUAACACCUUACGUUUCUUGUUUGAAGAGUUUGAAACUACAGGCUUAUUUGAUCUUGAUGCCUGGAAACCAAAAGACACACGGAUUAGGGUCAGAGGCAACAACAUACCAUAUCAUCUAUUUGACACCAUUGUCAUAAUUUUAUAAUUCGUCCCACUGAAUUUAGACUCAAUUUUGCACUGAAAGUCUAACAAAAGAAAAAAAAAUCUAAACUGAUAAGAAUGGACCUUGGGCUUAACUCAACCCCAAAAGCUAGCUUAUGAGGUGAGGAUUGCUCAAGCCAUAUAAGGAGACCAAGGACCUCAAAUCCCUCCGAUGUGGGACAACUCAACAUAAACAAACAAUUUAACAGUCGGUCCAAAAUUAUGAUAAAAAGUCACUCGAGCCAUAGCUAGCCUAUGACAUUGCGAAAACCUUUGAUAAGCUAAACUGGACCUAGCUUAUAACAGUCCUCCGACAGAUGGGAUUUGGUGAGAAGUGGAUAAAAUGGAUAAAAUUCAGCAUAAUUAAGUAAAACAUUCAGUUUUGGUCGAUAGGGGUCCUGCGGAUUUUUUCUCUCCUCAAUAGGCUCUUAGACAGGGAGACCUCUAUCUCCCUUCCUUUUCACUUUGGCUAUAGAGGGACUCAGCAAAAUACUGCAAAAAGGCGAGGCAAAUGAAGCGUAUAGAAGGCUUCAAAGUGGGUCACAAUCCUAGCGACUCGAUAUCAGUCUCCCACUUGUUGUAUGCAAAUGAUACGCUCUGAAGGACAGAUAGGCACCAGGUGCUAAAUCUCAAUCACACACUGCUGCUCGUUGAAGCCAUUGUGGCUUACACAUCAAUAUGCUGGCAAGUACCUUCUAUCCAGUCAAAAAUGUCUCCAAUUUGGAAGAACUAGCUGAAACAAUGUGCUACGACAUUGGGGCAUUUCCUAUAACCUACCUGGGAUUGCCGCUUGGUGCAAAACUGAGAUCAGCUGAGAUCCGGAAUGGAGUUACUGAAAGGUUUGAAAGAAGAUUGGCAACCUGGAAAAUGCAAUACUUAUCAAUGGAAGGCGGGUUAACAGCAAUCAACAAUGUUUUUGACGGGAUACCAACAUAUUUUAUGUCUUUAUUCCCAUUCAAGGCAAGGUUCUGAAUAUCUUGAUAAAAUCAAGACAGUUUUAAGAAUGCAACAGCCAGAGCCACAAGUUCCACCUGGUAAAAUGGUAUUCACUCACUCAAACUAAACUUCAAGUGGUUUAGGCAUAAAGUUUUUUAGAAAUUCACAAGAAUCACAACAAAUGCAUACUAAUGAAAUGACUAUGGAGGUACAGCUCAGAGAAACCUGGACUUGGAAGGAUAUAAUCAGAGUAAAAUAAGGGGAGCUAAUCACUGGUACACAAAUCACCACAUGGAGUAGGCCUUUGGAAAAGUAUUUGCAAAUUUUGGAGAGAAUUCAAUCAACGUACAAGUCAUUAGCUUCUGGAAGGACAACUGGUUAGAAAACAUCAUCCUAAAGAAGGAAUUCCCCAACCUAUUUUGAUUUCUGUUGUUCCAAAUUCAAUAAUAGCUCAGAGCAGAUCAGGACUCGCCGUUCAGAAAAAUGUACAAGGUUGGGAACUUAAUGAUCCACUCAACUGCUUAAAUGGCCCUGGAAGCUACAAAGUUGCUCACAAAAGUGAUCUGUUUCAGUUGGACAGCCCUCAAAGAACCACGUCUGACACUAGAUAACCUCACAAGAAGGGAUUUUCAGCUUGUUAACAGAUGCUACAUGUUUCAGUUCAACUCAGAAACAUCAACCACCUACUUUUCCCUUGUCCUGUAGCAGCAAACCUGUGGAUCAUGUUUCACUUGACUAUUAUUUUUUUUUACUUUAGCUCGCUCAUGCCAUUCAGUGUUAAGGAUGCAUAUGAAAGCUGUAGCCUAGAGGGCAUGGAAAGUUGAUAAAACCUUUUUUUUUAUGAAGUAAAGUGUUGCAUUAAAGGCAUAAAGAAGGCGCAAAAAAAGUACAAACUGAAAAGUCUUGGCUAACUCCUGAGAAAAAAUAAAACCUAUGUAACUGGGUUAUCAAAAAAUAAUCAGGAAUAUCUGGAGAAUGGUUCCUGCUAGUUAUUUUUUGGCGUAUCUGGACAGAAAGGAAUUGUAGAAGUGUAGAUGGUAUCUCAACUCCAAAUCAUUUCUUGAGGACUAGGUGUUCUAAGAAUCAGUUUAGCUGGUGUAAACUCUCUUCUGUAAAUAGCAUGGACCAUUUUUUGGAUUUUGUAAGCUCCCUAGUCCUAGUCCAGUUCUCAUAUAUUGGAACUAGCAGAAUCACUUCUUUCACUUUUAGCCAUUGCUAACCUACAAAAACAAGGUUGUAAACAUUUCUAAAACAAGGUUAUACAUUGUUAUAUUACAUAUGCAAGUAAACAUUUCGAAACAAAUGUUAGAAAUAUGGAGACUCCAACCACACAAAGUGCUGAUAAGUCUGUGAAUAUUGGAAAUAUAGAGACUACAUGACUUGGAAGAAAAGGUAGCUAAGCUUUAAUUGCAGCACAUCAGAAAAUUAUACUUACUUGUUCUUUGCCAACCUAGAACCUAGAUUACUGAAUAUUGAAAAAAAGUAAAAGUUAACAAGCAAUUUUGAGAAUUAAACUAUUAAAUAACUAUAGUUCCAUGAGAUUUCGGAAAAUCUAGUCAAAAAAUAAUCUAGGGUUACUAGGUGUGAGGAGAACUGACCGGUUUAGAUGAGGGAUUAGGGGGAAUGGAAGAAACUUCUGGGGGAAUGAAAUGAGAAAGGUCUCCCAUGUAAUCUUCUUCCUCUUCCUCCGCCAUUGUUCCUAACUGCUGCAAGCUUCUGUGGGAACUAGCGCAAAUACGCGCUACGUUUUGAUUGAGGUCUAUGAGUACUACACUGGGAUUCGUGCGCAGAGGAUCGGAUCCUUAAAUUGUUGAAAUGGUCCUCAAAGUAUGUAUUUGUUUUAUUAUAGCCCUUUAUGUAUUUCCACACCGCUAUUUCUUUUAGGAAGUCCUAACAUCAUCCCAUCUUUACAUAAUAACUUGAACAAUUUUCAAAAUUUUAUUAAAUUCCAUGUUUAAUAAAUUUUCCUCUAGACUGUUGGAACAAGUUGUUUAUCUGCUAAAAAUAACUGAAUAGCAACCACAAUUUGAAAAGCAAAAAAAAAAUACUUGUAGAAUUGUGAGAAUCAUUUUGAAAUGAGAUAAUACAUAGAAGACCUGGAAAAACAUAUUUGUUAUUCAAACUAUUAUAUGAAAUAAUAAUUAAUUUAUUUACAUUUUUAGGAGAUUUAAGAGGGACAAGUUCUUAUCGAAGACCAUAAUUAUAGUGUUUAUAGAAGUUUUAGAACCAUUAUUAUUUAAGUAUAGAUCUUGGGUAAAAUACCCUUUUUAAUCCAAGUAAAUAAAAAAAAAUCCUAUCUCUAUAUGAAUGUCCAAUUUUCAAACUUAUUCUUUUUCGCUAAUUUUUUUGUAUUUCUUUUAUCAUAUUUAUAUUUAUUUCCGGCUUCAACAAAGUAGCAAAAUUAGGGGGUCAUUUGAUUAAUAAAUAGAUUAUAUAGUGAUGGUAAUACAAUGAUUAAUAGUGCAUGGAUCAUUAACACCGGGAUGUAAUGCAUAAAUUAUGUGUUAUUAUGCGUUUGGUUUUUUAAUUUAAAAUGAGAUAUAUAGGAUAAAAAGUUUAAUAUAUAUGUUUAAUUUUAAACUUAAUAAAAUAUAAAGAGCAUUGAUGAUGGGUUUGAGGAAAAUAUAAAGGAUAAUUUUAUAUUUUAGUGUUUAAUCCAAAAAUUGUUAUUCAUGCUAUAUUAGUAAUAAAUAAUAUAUUAAUUAGUGUAUUAAAGUUUAUUAAUCACAACAUUUAUUUGAACUAUACUGGGUACUUGUUGUUGUUGUUGUGUAUUAAAUUUUAUACUAGCUAUGCAGGAUUUAAAAGUACAAACACUGAGUAAAGUAAUAUCAAUACUUAUACCUUACUUAAUUCAUCUAAUAUGUCAAAAGGCAUCCAACUUAAAGUGAUUGUAGAAAUGCAUUUGGAAUAUCCGUCUUUCUGCUAAAUAUGGUGGAUUGAACUCAUAAUUUAUUAGAUGUUUUGCAAUUAAAUUUUAUCAGAUUUAAAUUUAUAAAAUAAUUUGGAUCAUAUUAAAUUCAAGAUAUUAGUCCAAAUAAAUAUUGUGAGUAAUAAAUUAGGCUAAUUAUUUAAAUCCAAUAGAUGUGUUUUGGGCUAGUCUAUUUAAUUGGACUACAAAUUAAAUGAUAAGUCUAACAGCUCUUAGCUCAUCUUAAAGCCCGGCCACAUGCCAAGUGUCGAGUGAUGUGGCAAUCUAAGUCAAGAAACGAGCAAAUAAAAUCAAGACACAUGUCAAAUGAUAUGGCAAUCCAAGAUACAUAAAAUGAGCCAAUGAAAUCAUCUCGUGUCAGGAAAGGGAUGGCAUACCAAGUCAAAUCAACAACCAAUAGAUUUGUGCCAAGUGGCUGGAUGGUAUUGGUUGGUUCAAACGGACCAAUUAAAUCGCAGCCACACCACUCCCUACAACUAUAAAUUGAGGUCUUCAUAAAGCUAGAAGACACCAGAAGUGAUAACAAGAAGCAAGUAGAGAGCUCGUGGAUGAAACACUCCAGAUUUCUCUACAAGCUACAAGUUCAAGCACUGAAGCACUCAAGUUACAAGUUCAAGAUCAAGAACGAAGCCAAAUCAAACACCGAGGCAUUCAAGAUCAAUUACUUGUUCUUGAUCAAACCCAAAUUCAAAUUCAAGGAGGAGAUUUCAAAGAUCAAGCUUUUACAAGCGCUUGAAUCAAAUCAAAGUUAAGCUCAUUAAGAUACUUUAUAUUCUUGAAGAAUCAGAGGAAUACCAUAGAGAUUGUAACACUUUCAUUUAUUGAAAUCAAAUACUACAUUUGUUAUGCAAUUUUCCAAUCAUAAUUAUUUAUUUUUCUCGACGCGAAAAUUUAUUGUUACAAAAUUCUUCCAUUGGUAUGCCAAGCUCUUUGACAGUACGAAUUGGGAGAAUAUUGACAUUAAAUCCAUCAUCGAUCAAGAUUCUACUUAUUCUCUGUUCUCGCACAAAGCCAACCAUAAAUAGGGGGCGAUUAUGGUAUGUUUCACCAAGUAAAAGAUCAAGCAGACACCUGGCAUAAUUUAACUGGCUCAUUUAUUUGUCUUGGAUUGCCACAUAACUUGACACAUGACAUGAUUUUAUUGGCUUAUUAAUUUGUCUUGGAUUGCCACCUACUACAUUUGUUACGUAAUUUUUCAGUCUUAAUUAUUUAUUUUUUCUCGAUGCGAAAAUUUAUUGUUACACCAUUGUUAAAACAAUGCAAUUGUGUUUCUUCCAUAAAUACUUGAAUAUUGCUACAGAUUAAUUAGAGUCACAAGAUUGUUCCAAAUUAAUGCACAAACGAUCUUAAAUCUUAUCGAGUGAAACCAUAGUAAGUCCGAAUUUGAUAGUAUCAUAAAUUUUACUCCUUUAGCAAUGUUUUCUCCAAAAGGGAAGGGAAAAAAGGAGAGAUGGGUGGGAAGGACGAUGAAAGAGCAUGAGAUAUGGACAAUUUUUUUUUGGGGGUUCCAUAUGAUGUUCGGUAUUUAUAGUGGAACCUGAUUAUAUCUCGAUUCAUGCCGCGUAAGGAAAUAAAUUUUAACAUUAUUAAUGUGGUUAAAUUGGUAAUAAUUUUUUACUUACCCUCUCUUUUAAGUUAUCAACGUACGCUUAUUAUAGACAGUUAUAAGUAUUUUAGGCAAGUGAUGCAAAGACAUUUUAUUAUCAAGCUUGACAUUUUAUAUUUCUCAGGUAAUCAUAUUUACUUGAGAAAGUUCAACUGAAUCGUGCUUGCCAAAAAUUUAUGCUAUAUAUAAAGGUAAAAAAUUAUUUCUACGUGUAUAAACAUAAAUAAUUGAAUCACCUUAACAUAAGUGAGAAUGCUUUUGAUGAAUUUUUAUCUCUGCUUACUAUCAAGUCACUCAAAUAUUGAUCACAAGUAAGGUAUUAUAAUAAAGGUAAUAAUGUGACACGAUCGGUUAAAAGUUUAAAAAAAAAUUACAGCAUCACUUUAUAGUUAAAAGAAAUUUCAUUUCCGGGCAGGUUAUAAGAAUUGAAGCCGUGGAAAAAGAAAAAAAGAAAAUCUUUCCCGCGCUCCUUUGAGGCAGCACAGCUUCUAUUAUAAUUUAUAACUAACUAAUUAACCGCUCAGCUUCUAUAACUCAACAGAGAGCAUCCUCUCCCUUUUGUUUCUCAAAAAAAUUCUUCUUUCUGGGUAUGUCUAGCUCUCUUCAAAUUCCUUACCCAUAAAUUUUUUUUUUGCAUGCUUCUAACAAACUAAAGUCUGAAUUUUUGGCCUUUUUUGGGGUUUUUGGUUUUGUAAUCUGGAUUUCCUGUCAAGCACGAAUGUUCUGUUUUUUAUUAAUGUAUGAGUAGUCUUGAAUUUCCCUUUCACUUGGACUACUGCUACUUCUUGAAUCUUUAGUAGUAUCUUUUUUUGUUUCUUGUGCUUAAUGAUUUUCUGAUGAUUGCAUUUCCUGUGAUUUGAAGUUAAGAGGAGAUCUCUGUGUAUGUUGUUGUGCACAAUGGCUAAGCAGAGAAAUCUGGGAUUGGCUACCGCUGCAAUUUUGCUUUUUGCGGUUCUAUUCUUUCAAGCUUUUGCCCGCACUGAUGACCUCCAAGGUAUUUUCUCUCAUUCAAAUAACUACAUUGUUUUGGGGUUUUCUAAUAUUUGCGUUUCUACUAUAGAGUUCCUAAUUUGGUGGUUGAAAGAUAGGGUUAAUGCUUGAUUUGGGCAGUUUUAGAAGUGAAUUGAGUUGGGAUUAGGAAAGUUUAUCUGAUUGUAGAAUUUUCAUUUUUGCAGUUCAAGCACUGAGAGAUUUGUACAGAGCUCUAAACAGCCCUACUGAACUUCAGAAUUGGAAAUUUGAGGGAGGUGAUCCUUGUGAAGAAUCAUGGACUGGAGUUUCUUGCUAUCAAUCAUCAGUAAUUGAAAUGUACUUUACUGAAAAUAAUUGAUUACUGUAUCUUUUUUCGCUAAAUUCAAACUCACCAACAAAUUAAGCCAAUUGAAUUGCCUGGUUCUGUGUUUCCUGCAGUAAACUUCAAGGGUUAAGUCUUACUGGUAAUCUUGGAGAUCAACUUGUUAGUCUAAAACACUUGAAACAUCUGUAAGUUAUUCCAUUUAGUGCCAUUUUAUAUACGAAAACAUAAAAAAUAUCGGGAUAUAACUCAUAGUUUCUGUUUGUGUAGAGAUCUUAGCUCUAACCAUUUUCAUGGCGAGAUACCAAAUAGCUUGCCACAUAAUCUCACAGACUUGUAAGAUGAAUAUCCUUGUGAAUUAGUGUUCCUAUUCAGAGCGUGAAAUUAGCUAUACACAGUCGUCAUCUCACGAACAAUGCUUCUUGUUUUGGUUGAUAUAGAAAUUUGGCAUGCAAUAACUUUACUCAAAGCAUUCCCGCUUCUGUGAGUUCAAUGAAACAUCUCAGGCACCUGUAAGCAGCUUCUUCUUUCUAUUAAUAUUUUUGUUAUUUGAUUCUCAGAGUCCUAACGAGUGUUCUUUUGUUGCAGAAAUAUGAGCCAGAACCUACUGUCUGGACCACUGGCAGAUGUCUUUGGGGGCUUGGACAAUCUUAUAAUGAUGUAUGAUAUAUAUAUUUCUUGUUCUUGAUUUCUUUUUCCUAGAUUUUAUUUGGAAGCAAACUGUGAUCUUCAAAAUGGAUUAUCUGCCUUCUGUAAUUGAAUGAGACACAGCUUCAACUUCAAGCCUUCAUUGCCAUAUUUAAUGUGUAGUGAGAUCUCUGCUCAAGAUUCAAGUUUGUAAUUAGUGCGGCAUAUCUUGAAUUCCAUUGUUUACACUAAUCUUUCAUUUAUCAAUAGAUGUCUCUCUCUAUAUGAUACUUCUGACUUUAGAAGGUGAUCAACCGAAAUAUGAGUUAGAAUACUUGCAUUAUGUAUGCAAAAUCAGGAGGUACUUUCUAUAAACAAAUAGAUGAGGUAAACAAAGGUGCAUAAGACAAUUCUGUAUAAGGUUAAAGUAGUGAAGAAAUUGACCUUGGCAAGAAAAUUUUACUACAGAAAUUUGUUUCAACAGGGAUCUGUCACACAACAAGUUCAGUGGAGAUCUACCUGCUUCAUUUCGAGCUCUGAAGAACCUUACAAAAUUGUAAGUUUUUUCACAUCUGAAAGCAUUUCUACCAGUUGCAAAUUCCAUUAGCAACAAUGAGGUACUUUUGGCAGGUAUCUUCAGAGCAAUGAAUUCACUGGAUCAGUAAUUUUUCUGGCUGACCUUCAUCUACAUGACCUGUGAGUUAUCAGUUUUGAUGAGUAUAUCUAUUGAAGUUUAAAUUCUCAGACACUCAAAUUGCUCAAUUGUGUCUAUUCCAGGAACAUUGAAGAUAAUCAUUUUAGUGGUGUUAUUCCUGGGAGCUUUCAAAAUAUAAACAACUUAUGGUAAACUAUCUGGAUUCAAAGUCUACUUGUUGGUAUAAUUUACCCUACUUGACGUUUGGCUUUGUGUCUUUCCCUAAUAAUCAGGAUUGGGGGUAAUCGGUUUCACAGUGGAGGAGCAGACUAGCUUCCCUGGAAGUUUCCUACUGAUGUUAUGCCCAAUAUUUCUAGUCCUCCAACAACAGAAUCAAGUGCCAUCGAGAAAUAUCCUUCUCAUGAAACAGGAGACAACAGAAAGAAAAGACCAGGCUCUGGAGGAAUAGUUAUUAUGGUUGUUGGAGCUGUACUGACUGUAUUUGGUGCAGCAGUCUUUAUCAAUUUUCGGAUUCGCCGAUCCCAAAAACAGACACUGGAUAGCAUAAGAGGCAGCAUAAGUUCAUUGCAGUCUCUUCCAAUCAGUGCACCCCAAGGUCAGAUAUAAUUCUUCAGAAACCCCUUCAUUUUACAGUUUAGAUGCCUUGUACUAUUUUAUGAAAUUAUAUCAUCAUGAAUUAGACAAGAGGAGUUGCUCUGAUGGUAAGCAAACCCCACUUCCAACCAAGAGAUUGUGAGUUCGAGUCUCACCAAGAGCAAGGUGGGAAGUUCUUGGAGGGAAGGAUGCUGGGGGUNNNNNNNNNNNNNNNNNNNNNNNNNNNNNNNNNNNNNNNNNNNNNNNNNNNNNNNNNNNNNNNNNNNNNNNNNNNNNNNNNNNNNNNNNNNNNNNNNNNNNNNNNNNNNNNNNNNNNNNNGAAUUCUGCGUACACACUACCCUCCCCAGACCCCACUAAGUGGGAUUAUACUGGGUUGUUGUUGUAUAUCAUCAUGAAUUAAAAUCUUGAUAAUGCUUAAUGCAUACGCCCAUGAUAAUGCACCCUUUUUCCUGUGAAAAUGAACCACAUUUCUUAUCGAUAUUUUCUCUGUUUGUACUUUUCAUUUACCAGUCACAACUGGUCCUUUAGCUGCUCAAUACGAUAGCCCAGAUUCCUCCAGCAGUGACUCUCCUCCAUUGAUUUCCUCAUGGCAAUUGCCACCUGCCCCGACCAUGACUCUGAAAAUGUCAAAGAGAAGAAGUUUCUCCAAGAAGUGCAAAAUCCCAAUAUGUGCCAAACACUAUACAGUGGCAGAGUUGCAGUUGGCCACAAGUAAUUUCAGGACAAUUUUUUUUUGGGGGUUCCAUAUGAUGUUCGGUAUUUAUAGUGGAACCUGAUUAUAUCUCGAUUCAUGCCGCGUAAGGAAAUAAAUUUUGGUAAUCUUCUUGGUGAAGGAACCCUUGGUUCUGUUUAUAGAGCAGAUUUCCCUGAUGGACAGGUAAUAUCCUAGCAGCGCCUUCCCACACUUAACCAAGAGAAUUUUUUACAAAGUUUUCUCACUCUUGUUACUUCUUGGUUGUGCAAGAUUCUGGCUGUCAAGAACAUUAAAACUGUAGCACUCUCCAUAACCGAGGAAGAACAAUUUAUGGAUGUGAUUCGAACUGCAUCCCGUUUGAGGCACCCUAAUAUAGUUGCACUUGUUGGCUAUUGUGUGGGGCAUGGCAACCACCUCCUUGUGUAUGAGUACAUAAGGAAUGUGACACUUGAUGAUGCCUUGCACAAUGUUCUGUGCAUACCUCUGACUUGGAGCCUCCGACUCCGAAUUUCCAUUGGCGUUGCUAGGGCAUUGAAGUAAGUAAACAAUACUAGCUUUCAUUGUCAAUUGUAAUUGUGACUGCAAAUACUGCAAGGUGGAUGAGGAUAAAUGUUUAAGUACUCUCCUGUUGUUCAUGGCUUUAAUCAUUCCACUUACAUUUUCAGCUACUUGGACACGUCCUGUGUCACUCCCAUCACCCAUAGCAAUCUAAAGGCUGCCAACAUCUUGCUUGAUGAAGAUCUUAACCCUCGUAUUUGUGAUUGUGGACUAGCUGUCCUAAGACCACUGGCCAGCAACAGUGUUAAAAUCAAGGUACCAUCUUUACACUUAUAACCUUUCUUCACUACUAGUAUUAUUAUUGAUGAUUAGCAAAGAACUGCUCAGAGAAAUGCUAAAGGUACCUUCUUUACUACUAGUAUUAUUAUUGAUGAUUAGUAAAGAACUGCUCAGAGAAAUGCUGAGUAAGCUAGAACUACAGCACAAGUUUGUCAACAUACUCACAACCAGUUACUGUCAUUUUUAUGGUGCAAGACAGGCUUCUGAGAUGGCUAUUGAAGAUAGUGGCUAUGUUGCGCCUGAGCAUGUCAAACGUGGAAGUGGUAACCCAAAGGCUGACAUCUAUUCCUUUGGUGUGCUGCUUCUUGAACUUUUAACUGGAAGGCGCCCUUUUGACAGGUUUCUUCCACUUGCCAACUUUCUCUCAACUUUGUCAAAAACCAUUAUUUGGUUGCUGAUGCUUCUUUUUUUUUCCUUUUUCUGUUACAAAUGCAGUUCAAAACCAAAAGGAGAGCAGUCACUGGUGGAAUGGGCUUCUUCCAAGCUUCAUGACAGUGAGUCUUUGUUGGACAUGGUUGAUCCAACCAUAAAGAGAACAAUUUCCUGCAGGGCGCUCUCAUCUUAUGCUGACAUCAUUUCCCAAUGCAUUCAGGUUUGUACAGUAGACCAUGCACACUACACCUGAGUGAUCUUCAUUAGACGACACUCUAAUGAGACUGAUAAUUUCUAAAAGCUUUUCAGAUAAAGGUUUCAAAUUAAGAGAACGAUUUCCUCCAGGGCUCUCUCAUCUUAUGCUGACAUCAUUUCUCAAUGCAUUCAGGUUUGUACAGUACAUCAUUAGAAGACUACUCUAAUGAAACUAUGAUAAUUUCUAAAAGCUUUUCAGAUAAAGGUUUCAGCUGACAACUAUCCUUAACUUUUGUGUCUGUUGCUGAAAAAUAUGAGCAGCCAGAGAAGGAAUUCCGUCCCCAAAUGGCUGAAGUUGUGCAGUCAUUAGUGUCAGUGUUACAGAAGUAUGGACCAGAAAAGGCAAAGUCUGGAAAAGAUAAAGCCACAGCAGAAGGCAAUGAGGUUGACCCCUUUGAGCGAUCCUUUCGUUCAACCAACAGCCGCUUUUUUGCCUCACCAACUGCAAGCUACUACUCCAUCUGAUUAUCCUCUGCAAUGUGCUGAAUACCACUUUGUAUAGUUCUUUUCAUGCUAAGGACUUCUUCACAACCCAUUUCCAUUUUUUAUGUUAACCUGAUUUUGUAGCUCCAGUUCUAGUUUAGACCUACAAUACAAUUGUAGCAUCAGCAUGGAUGAUUGUUAAAGUUGCAAUGCUUGUAUAGCCUCUAUAGAGUUUAAUGCAUACAUUGAUUUUUCGAGAGAGUGCAUCCUCUUAUCUUGCUUUUACCAGGUUCUAGGAUUGUUUGCUAGAUUUAUUUUCACCAAAAGAAGAUCUAAGUGGUGUAAAGUCUUCCUAUCGGUUAGCUAACUCGUUGUUUAUCUUUCUACUGUGGAAAUAUAUAGCAUUUCGAAAUACCAACAAAUUUUACAUCAUACUAUGAACUCAGAUUCAACUGUUUCGCAGCCAAUAAAGAAAAUUGACUAGGCGGUACUUCAACUAAAAAGUUACAUACUUUAUACUUAAGAACAAUAGAAAGCGAUCGAGGAAUAAGAAGAUAUGGGAGUGUUCUUGUAUAAAAGAAGUCUCUUCCACAUUAUCUUUUGAAAACUAUAUGUAACAGUUUGGUAGUGAUGCUUUGGAGGUCAGGUCUAUGCCCCCCUCCUCUCUUUGUACUCUGCAACUUUUGUAAUGGACAAGGUAGGGGUCAAGCCAAACCCCCCACAUCAACAGCAUUCGCCUUGAUGAUGACAUAACAUAUAAAAAAAAGGAAUAAGAACAUUAAGAGCCCUUAUUUUAUAGUAUUCCACCCAAUUGACAAACGAAUCCAGUGCCAUCAAAGGUGAAAAUCAGAAGAAAAAAAAACAUUAUGAAGUUAAUUGAGGAUUUUAAGUGCAAAGCACAAAUAAAGAAAGGCGCAAUUAAAGGAAAAGGAAAAGGAAAACAUUCAUGUAGUUCAGUUAUGAUAAACUAUAAACCCAGACAACAGUUAUCUUAACUGAUAAAUUUAAAUACUAUAAUUAGAUGAAAUAUUGUUUGCUUGCUGUCGUUCUUUUCAAAACAAAACAAUAAGCGACAGUGAGGCGUGUCUUUGCGCCUUGGUGCUAGCAUUGAAGCAUCGAUUAAGCAAAGAAGAAGUGCUCAGCCUAUUAUGCACCUAGCUCUAGUCCUUGAACGAACCUCAACCAAACCUUUGACAGCACAAAACUAAUAUCAGUUGCUAGGAUAACAUUCCACGCUUAUGAAAUAGAAGUUUGGGCAUGAAAUAGAAUUAGGAUAAUUAGCACAAUUGCAUUCCAUGCGAGCAAAACUAAGUUAUUUUUUCAUGUCUUGUCAUUCGGGAAAGAGGGGGUGUGAAGCAGUGUCAAAACAAAAUACCCUGUGGUUUGCUAAAGUCAGGUUCAACUGUAACUUCUACAGUAUCAACAACAAUUAGAGUUACAUGAUGUAUAAGAGUUGCUCUAGCCUUCUAACACUAGCUACUUAUUAACAAUGUAUUAAUCUCUCCUAUGAUGUUGACAGGCCGUCCGUCAAACAUGGAUGAAAGUGUACUCUCACAAAGUUUCUUCAGUUCCCUGGUCUUCGCAAUAGCUGCUUCCUGCAUAAGAAAAAAACCAAAUUUCAAGAAAAAGAUGGCGAAUGCAAGAGACAAAGAGUAGGCACGGGACUUUUGAUAUGCUUUACUUCACCACAUUUUUAUUUCCUUUCGGAGAUAUGAAUAGGUAGUAGAGAGGUAAUUUCAAAAGGCACUGAUAGUGGUGCUCUUUUUCUUCUUGGGGGGAGGAUAACUAUUCGAAAAAAUGUAUUGCAAAGCCACCAUGCAUAUCUAGUAUAAACUUACAGCAUUGUGAAGUUCAGAAGAUCUGUAAGAAUAACUGUGCUUGACAACAAAAGCACAGGAAAAGUCGAAGUCUAAAACACACUUAUGUACACAAGGUUCCAUAAUUCACUUGGCCACUUGUCAGGGAUCGUAAAUAUUUGAAAAUCAGAGAAAGCAUGUUAUGAAAUUAUGAGAAUAUUUCUACUUUUUGGUAUACUUCUUGUAUCCGGGCAUUUUUAUGCCCGCACUUCAAAUACAAUUAUUAUUUUAUCCAAAAUAAUGAAAUUAUGAGAACAUAACUAAUACUUUAAUCUCAAGGUAGCUACUAAUCUUACUUUAACUCAAAGUAGCUAAUCUCACAUUUUUGCAAUUACUGCAAAUUACAUUAAACAAAACAGGAAGGGAAGUAAUAUAAGAAACUCACUUGUUUUGGCCAAGAUGAAGACAUCGAGUUCUGAAGUUCCAUACGCCUAGCAGACAAGUCCUUUAAUCCGUCCUUUAACUUGGCUUCCUGACGCUUUUUCUCCUCCAAAGUAUUGACCAACCGAUCCAAAAAUCUGGAAUUAGGAUUAAUACAGCAGUCAGCAUGCAAUUUUAAGACAAAUAGUUAAGUCUGCAGUCCAUAAACUUCAUAGAAUAAUGAUAUAGUAUUACUGUCCGGCAACCAUCUCUCAUCAUGAUGACCAUCAUGCAAUUUUAACACAAAUAGUUAAGUCUGCAGUCCACAAACAACAACAAUAACCCAGUAUAAUCCCACUUAGUGGGGUCUGGGGAGGGUAGUGUGUACGCAUUUGGGGCUCUUCAAUUAAGUAGGAUUGUCCUUUUAUUUUAGAGACAAAACAACAACAACCACCCAGUAUAAUCCCACUUAAUGGGGACUGGGGAGAGUAGUGUGUACGCAGACCUUACCCCUACCCUUGAGUAGAGAGGUUGUUUCCAAAUAGACCCCUAGCAUCCUUCCCUCCAAGAACUUCCCACCUUGCUCUUGGGAAGACUCGACCUCACAACCUCUCGGUUGGAAGUGGGGGUUGCUUACCAUCAUAGCAUCCCAUCUGCAGUCCACAAACUUCAUAGAAUAAUGAUCUAGUAUUAGUGUGCGGCAACCAUCUCAUCAUGAUGACAACAGAAGUGAGCUAUUACUCUAUCAAAAGUUGAAUGCCAUAAACUUCAAGAGUGAAUAAAUUACUAAACUAAUAAAGUUUAUGUAUACUUAGCAGUUUAAAACAAAAGAUAUAUUGGGAGCAUGCAGAUUCAAGAACUUUGCAUGUCAUAACUCAUAAAUAUCUGAAAAAGGAAGAAAAUAUACUAUUUAACUUGCAAAAGGAAACAAAUUUCAUGGAAGCCAUAACUAAUCAGUACCUUUUGGAGUUGAGGAUCAUGAUCAUGUCCCUUGUUUUCCUAUUUGUAAGCAAUGAAAUGGCUGAGGAAACGUCAGAUAGCAUUGUCUGAAUUAUAUCAGAAGAGUACUGCUGCAGAACAAGCGGAGCAACUGCUUGGACUUGAUGUUGUAAAGACGUAGUUUCUUCGUUACUUAGCUCAAUCAACCGUUGAUUCAAGAAUGCUUUCACCUGAUGGCCAAGCAUCAAACAAUAGAUGUCAGAAUCUGUCAAACCCACCAGGCAAAACGACUCAACGAAGACAUUGAAAGUCCAAAUUGACGACAACCUAAUCAAGCGGCCUCAAUAAUAGAGCCUAUUUCCAGCACAAAAGUUGAUAAACUAGUGCCAAACAAAGAAAAAUUGUCUAAAGAUACUAGUCAAAUAAAAAUCAUACAGACCUCAAAUAAGUCAUCAAGUAUCUUAUUCCUGUACUCUGUCUCUAGUAGAGGACUCCUCUCUGCAGUUAAAUUGUUUUGAAGAGAUCGUAGUUCCACAGCAUUAUUUUGUGAACUGUCUUCUUCAAUCACAUCAACUAGAGGAUUGUCAACACUUAUAUCCCAAGAUAUUUCUGAUGCAGAGACCUCAGGAGCUGAGAACCCUUCUUCCUUUGAGGUCUGAUGAGAUUCUACACUGUCAUUAUGAGGAGAUGGCAAAAUAUCGCUUGCAUUAACAAUCUCAUAGGGACCCAAACCAUUUCCAUUUUCUUCUGUUUCUUCCACAGUGCCAAUGUCCCAAUCAAUUUGAGAGCUAUCUAAAGUAAUAUCCCAGUCAAUCCCAUCAGCUGCGAUAUCACUUUCUACAGUCAUUUGACCUAAAUCAUUAUAUCUUCCUUGAGCUUUCAUAACCUCCAAUACUUCAGAGCUAAUGGAAACAUCAGUCGAAGGGGGACUUUCACGAACACUCCUCAGAUUUGGUAACAUAACAGCAGCGACUUUCUGCAACCAGAACAAACAACUUAAGUAAUCCAUGCUACACCAAACACUGAUGCUACACUAACAACAGAUAUAGGGAAAGAAAGUCACAAAGUUCGUCGCCUACAUCCUUUACAGUAUGAGCAUCUUUGACGAAAUCUGAGUAAAACUCAGUAGCCCGUGAGACAGAAUCACCAUUAAGUACUUCCAAGAUUCUGCUAAAUGUGGUUGGAAGAGAUUUAGUGGCAGUUUCUAGAAGUUCUGACCUCACAUUUAUUCCCUGAAUACAAGAGAAAAGUCAAGUAUAUUAUAAAUGGAAAGAAAAAUGAAUAAAAAGGCUAAUCCAAUGGUAACAGAGUCAAGCAAGCUAAAACCUGCAGGCCCAGCUCCUGACAAGCCUCUACAUAUUUAGACGCCGAAACAGCUGCAUUUCUUUUUAUAUCAGUUUCUUUGCGCUCCAAUUCAGCUAGUUGCUGCUGUGUCUUCUGAAUCUGCUUCUUUUGAUAGGGGCUACAAAAUAAUGAUAGAGCUCUUAGACAUCUUGACAGAAAAUUACUACAGUCAAAUCAUAGCUUAAUUUGUUUUGCUAGUAGUGUGAUAAAGUUAGUAAAUUUACAUCUCAUAGUUAACAUUUUGGACCAUAGUCUGAGCAGCUUCACCAAGGAAAAUGUAUUCCUUCUCAUAGGCACGCACUAUUGCUUCCCAAACACCCUGACAGGAGUCAAAAUAAGAUCACGUUAUAUUGGAAACAAACACACAUAUACAUAUCGAGAGACAGAGAGAUUAGGUCUUACAGCGUCACCUGAAAGCCGACCAAAAAUAUUACGGCUUUCUGGAGUUGACUUAAGAAGAAUCUCAUAUAUUUUUUUGGCUUCCAAAUAACCGAUCCCUGAAAGUUAAAGUUCAACCAGUAUACUUUUGUGCUCAGCAAAUGUGGAGUGUAGAAAAUAUCUUCAUUGGAACCACAGAGAACUGAUGAUGCAACCAAAAUGUCACUCAAUGGUAUGUCAGCAGCAGAAAUUUCCACCAAUUUUUAUUGUUGGUUUUUUAUUUCCUCGGACAAGUGAAAUUUCCAUCAAAUUAUACCAAUUUUCUUUUAAAUUAUACUAGUUAGUAGUUACACCUUGUUUGGAUGGUUGUUAUCUAUUGUUUUGUAUCGUAUUGUUACUUUAUACACAAUGUUUGCUUUGAUUGUUACUUAAAUUUUAUCGUAUCAUAUAACGACAAAAAGUGUCACUUUAAGUAACGACCAAUUUGGUGUGCUCACACCGUUACCUUGCUUUUCCUCUCAUCUUGCCCUUUCUUAUUAUUAAAUAGUUCUUUUAUCUUUUACCCCUUUUUUUAUAAUACUUUUAACUCGUACCCUACUUUUCUGGUGAUAUUGCAAGUUUUUUCUUUUUUCUUUAUAUUUGUUGGUGCGUGAUAUCAUGAAAUAAUGACAAACAAUACAAUAUAUCCAAACGUUGUAUUCAUUAAAACAAUACAGUACAAUUUAAAAUAAUAGGAUACAAUCAAUUCCAGAAGUACGAAACAAUAUGUAAGAACCAUCCAAACAAGUCGUUAGGCCCAUGAAAGGAGCAUAAAAGGUCAGAAAGUGAAUGGCAAACAUACUUCAAAUAUCAUCCUCUACCUGGUUUUAAUAACAAAAAAGAAUAUAAGAAAAGAUUAUCGGUUCUUAACUAACAGAAAGAUGUAUGCCUAUCCAAAACUGCUAAGUAACAUUUUUACGGUUCCUCUUUUUCUUUUUCUUUUUUUGAUUUAUUUACUAAUUGCUAGCAUUUUUGAAGGGGAACCUUGGAGCAAGGCUAAAGUUGUCUUUAUGUGAUCUAUAGGUCACGGAUUCGAGCCGUGGAAGAAACCACUAAUACUUGCAUUACGGUAGGCUGUUAACAUCACACCCCUAGGAGUGCGGCCCUUUCCGGGACUCUACGAAAUGCUUUGUGCACCAGGCUGCCCUUUAAUUAUUAGCAUUUUGCCAGUUCUUAACAAAAUAAUCAGCAAAUACACUUUCAUUUCCCAUUGUAUUUUCAGUUUCUCAAAGAAUUAAUAUAGCCUGCUGCUGCUUCUUCAAAAACAAAAGAAAAGGAGCCAACAUAGCCUAUUCUUAUUAAUGUUAUACAAAAGGUCAAACAAAAAAAAAAUCUUGGCUUUAACUCUAAUUCUAAAAUGGUUCAGCCAGUUUACAACUUAGUAUGGCACUACACUAAUAACACAAAACUAACAGUAGCUGAUACUCCCUCCAUCCCAAUUUAUGUGAGGUGUUUGGAGUUUAAGAAAGAAAGAAAGACUUAUGAAACUUAUAGUCUAAAACAAGUUAGACACAUUUGUUUGCUCGUUAAGGGUAAAAUGAGAAGUUUAAGGUAAACUGCUUCUAAAUGUAGAAAGGUACUGUUCUUUUGGGAUAGAUUAAAAAGGAAAAAGUAUCAAAUAAUUUGGGACAGGGGUAGAGAACUAUUUCGAGGUCCAGCAAGGCAGCAACUAGGUCACGAGAAUGAGCACACUUGAUUAUUAUCAAAUUCUAGGGCUUAAAAGCAUAAAUUUUUACAAGCCUGAAUUGUUACAGCAUAAAAUUCAUGGGAAAAGGAAGAAUUUUUACAGCUAAAUAAAAACAAAGAAACCACAAAAGGAAAAGAAGUGAAAAAUACCUUCAACAUCAAGAGUGUGAAAGUAAGGAUCAAUGUCUUUAGGCAGCGACGCAAAUGACGUCGUAAUCUUAGCUCUCACAGCCGCAAGUCGCUUCCGCCAAUCCGUCGGAAUUCUCUUCCGAUCAGCCAACCAUUCUUCAAUCCGAUAAUCAAAUUCAUCAGAAAAAUGAUUGACAGGAGAAAAAUAAAUAAGCAAUUUAGAAUUUUAUUUAUUUGUUAGUUGAUUUUUUUACCUCCGAGGCGAGCGAAUGCUAUGUCGAUUGGAAGAUUACGAAUAUCGUCUUGGCUCUGCAUUUCUCCAGAAAAUAUUCACUGCUUGAUCUUUUUUUCUUAGGGAAUUGCCGGAGAUCGCCGGAGUUUCACAGUGAUAGUAAAGAAAUGGGUCUCUAUAUGCUAACGUGCGCCAUGGAGUAAUGGAGUUGUCAACUCUUAGCUGCAGUGAAAGCAAUGGGUUGGGUAAUAAUCAUGGGCCAAAACAAAGCCCAACAUAAAAGGUUAUUUCGGGCCUUACAGUUUUGGGCGGGAGAAAUUAAAAAAAAGUUAUAUUUAUAACUGCUCAUUAAAAAAUAGCUCACUUAUAAAAGUAAUCGAAAUUUAGUCACUUUUCAUGUAAAGAUAAAUUUGAAUGAAAAUACUUUUCAAAAUCAGGAAAAUACGCCCGCAUAUUAUACGGGAGUUCCAACAUAAGUAUACUUGAACUCCAGCAUAUUAGACGGGAGCUCCCGUAUAAUAUGCGGGAGUUCAAGAAUAAUUAUGCUGGAACUCCCGCAUAAUAUACUGGAGUUCCAACAAGUAUAAAUAUUAUUAUAACAUAUUGGAUUUUUAAGCACCGGUGCUCCAGUCUCCCGUAUAUUAUACAGGAGUCAACAAAGUAUACCGGUCUAGCAUAUAUAAAUGCACCGAACUCCCGUAUAUUAUACGGGAUCGGUCUCUGUUGCAACAAAAUAGUGGCUAUUUUUCAUUACCUUGGUAAACGCUGGCUAUUUUUGAUUGACCAAUGCGAAAACUGGCUAUACCGUGGUAUUUUGACGUUUUGUGCGUUAAAAGUAAAAAUUGCACGGGGCGCCCUAUUUGGUCGCCCCUAUUUAACUUAUACUCAUUUUUAAAAAACUUUUAAUUUGUACCCAAUUUUUAAACAAUUUCAGCUCACUUUCUCCGCCUCCUUCUCCUCCUUCAUUUUUUUUUCUUCUUACAAUGAUGACAUAAACAUUGCUCUGUUUCUUCAGUCUUAGAUAAGAAACUUCAUGCAUCUUAAAUUUGUAAAGCCAUGUCACUUAACAAUCUUAGAGGUUUUUAAUAGCUUUUCGUUCGGUUAAGGAGUAUUAAAUUGACUUAUGGGGUCAUUCCAUUGUUUCAUUUAAGGGUGUGUUGGUGUGAGCACGAGUGUUAACGUCGGAAGAGUAAAUCAGUUAAAUAAAAUUAGUAGAAGCUUUAGAAAGGACAUGCUUAACUUAACACAAGAAAUGGGAAAUGAUAAGAAAAUCUUUAGAUGACCUUUUAGGAACGAGGGCUCGAGAGUUGAAGUUUUUCAGUUACAACAUAAAAACUUCAACUCUAAAGCUGACAACACAAAAAUUAUAACACUAAAAUUUCAGUACUAGAGUUAAAGUUCGCCAGUUACAAAAUAAAAACUUCAUCUCUAGAGCAGAACUUCAGCCCCGGCUAUUAGAAUGCUGAAGUUUUGCAUGAUUGCCUUUGCUACUUCAGCCCCGUGUGCUGAAGUUAUGCAAAAAAGCGGGUAUGCUUGCUAUUUUUUUUGCAAAACAGGCACAAGUUAAAAUGUGACACAAAAAGCGGGUAUAUAUGCAAAUGCCUCGCGUUAAGACAGUAAAAAUAGCACCGUAUAGCCAUUUUUCGGAUUGGUCAUUCAAAAAUAGCAUGUGUUUACGAAGUCAAUGAAAUAUAGCCACUAUUUUGCUAUAUCAGAGAUCGGUCCAGCAUAAUAUACUGGAGUUCAGUGCACCUAUAUAUGACUCCAGCAUAUUAUGUUGGACCGAUAUACUUGCUAACUCCAGUAUAAUAUACUGGAGACUGGAGCACUGAUGCUCCAAACUCCAGUAUAUUAUACUGGACAAUUAUACUUGCUAGAACUCCAGUAUAUUAUGCCGGAACUCCAUUAUAUUAUGCUAGAGUUCCAGCAUAAUUAUCCUAGAACUCCAGUAUAAUAUGCUUGAGUUCAAGCAUACUUAUGUUGGAGCUCCAGUAUAAUAUACUAGCGUAUUUUUGGAUUUUGAAUAAUGUUUUCGCUCAGAUUUAUCUUUACAUGAAAAGUGACUAAAUUUCUAUUACUUUUCAAACUGAGCUAUUUUUGAUCGACCAGUUGUAAAUCUGGCUAUUUUUAAAUUUUUCCUACUAAGACAAUAGUAAAAAUACCACGGGAUGGUCAGUUUUCGAAUUGGUCACUCAAAAAUAGUCAGUGUUUGCCAAGUCAUUGAAAAAUAACCACUAUUUUGCUGCAAUAAUGAGCGGUCCAGCAUAAUAUACUGGAGUCGGUGUACCUAUGUAUGAACUUCCAGCAUAUUAUGCUGGAACUUCAACACACGGAAAGUUCCAGCAUAAUAUACUGGAGAUUCGAGCGAUUGUGUAUGAACUUCCAGUAUAUUAUAUUGGACCAGUAUACUUUGCUUGAACUCCAGUAUAUUAUGUUGGAGUUCUAGUGUACUUAUGCUGGAACUCCAACAUAAUAUACUGACGUAUUUUUCGAGUUUUAAUUAAUAUCUUCGCUAAGAUUUAUCUUUACAUGAAAAGUAACUAAAUUUUGAUUACUUUUGAAAGCGUAACUAUUUUUGAAUGACCACUUAUAAAUCUGACUAUUUUUAAAUUUCUCCCGUAAAAAUUGCAUGGGGUAGCCUAUUUAGAUGCUCCGAUUUAACCUAUAAUCAAUUUUCUAAAUUAUUUAUGGUAUUCAAGGUAGCAAAUUUCAGACAGAACUUUCCUCCUCCAUUACCACCACUACAAUGUUAUGCCAAUAUCCCCAGAUACAUAUUCAAAAUCAAAAUACUCACACCAUUUAAAAACCUAAAUAUCCAUAAAUAAAUUGGCUUCAUUCAGUUACAAUAGUUGUUUGCUCCUUGUUUCUUGAUUUUGUGCCUUUCGGGUGUAAUGUAAUUCGUCCAAAACGGUGAAUAAGUUGUAUUUGUAUUAGGAAGAAACUACUGAAACUCUUUGACUUAAAUAAAUUUAACAGACUUUUUGCUCAAAAUUUUGUAUUUAUCUUAAAAUAUUUAAUUAAUAUAAAAAAUUAUCAAUUAAAAAUUUAAUUACUCAAAAGGACUAAAGUCCUGAAUUUAUACACUUCAAAUUCUGAAUUAAUCUGUAAAAUCACCAUUGUUGCAAGCUUGAAGAAGUGGAUCUUGAAUUUUGAAUCUAAAAAGUGAGUUUAAAUUUAGUUGGUGUUGUUGAAAAAACUUGAAAAUAAUGGCAAGUAUGAAGGUUGAUAGUUCAAACUUGAGAAAAACUACUCUCAUUUUGAACAUGUAUGUCUGAAACUUUAGACAUACAUACAUGUUUUAACUAUGAAAAUUCUAAGCUUAAUUUUAGUCAUAUAUCUUGAAAGUUUGGAUGCAUAUAUUGGAAGUUUAGCCUUGGCAAACCAACUUUGAAUGAGUCGGAAAUUUGGCCUUGACAAGUCAAAUUUCAUAUGCGAUACACAAUUUUGCCCUCAUAUUUUUAAAUAGUAUAUAUACUUUCAAAAUAUCAUUUUGUAUCAUUACUUUGUCUUCAAGAGUCAUAUGAACAUUUUCUAUAAUUCUCUAUAAUUUUUAGAAAUUAAUUUUUCUUGAAUUUAAAUUGCUUGAGUAUUUAUUAAUUAUCUCUUAUUUUAUGAUGACCUAAUCAUUCAAAAUUAUUAUUUUCAUCCUCAUAUAUGUUUUAUAAUAUUUUUACUUUAUUUAUAUAAUUAUAUUAUAUUUUAGGCUAUUUAUAUAAUUUUGCAAUAAUAGCCUAUACGCUAUGCACAAUUACAUUUAUUACAUUAUUCAUGCUAAAAUAGCAUUUUUUAAAUAUUUAUAAUAUUAAGUUAUUAUUUUCAAUUAUUUUAUUAUACAAGUAAUAUUUUAUUAUAUAUUAAAUAGUUUUAUAAUUAUUUUAUAAAUAAUUUUUGUGUAUUUAAUUUGUACCCCGAAUUAUAUCAAUUUUGGACCACAUUAGUGGCCCAAACUCCUCAAAUCCAUGGCCCAAUUUCACCAUCGCAAGCCAAACGACCCCUUAAUCUCAAACCCGUUCGAUACCCAUUUAAACGACCCAUCCCACUCCCUUUUCGAUCCUUUGAGAUCAAUGACUCAUAAUAAACCUACCUUCUCCUUAUAUCCUCCUAACCCAAACCUUAGAUCAAUUUGUCAUUUCCGUCGCCUUCAAACCCUCCCUCUCAUCUUUCAAACCUAAACCCCAGCCGCCUCACUCAAAUCCUUUUCAAGUCCAAUAUUACAUGAAAAUCAUCCAUGACUCCUUUCCUUUCUUGCACACACGAAGAUACUUAUCAUCUUCUAAAUAUUUGUAUUGGGACUCGAUUAUUUAUGGAAGCUCAUUGGUGUUCGUUUAACUCCGAUUCUAUAUUAUCUUCAUGUUUCUGACCUUAUACAUUCACUGUCAGGCCUCAUGGCUUAAAUUUCGGUGAGAUUUUUUUGCCAUUUUGGUUCUUCAUCUAAACUAGGUUUUUCUGGAUUUGCCCCAAAACUGAUUCUAAUUGAUUUUGCAUGCUAUAUUUUUUAUUUGUCUUUAAUCUAUUGUAUUUCCUUAUUUUUUGUAUUGAUCUUUACUACUAUAUAAACCCCCCCUUAAUCUUUUUUAAGAGACCUUAAUCACUAUUAUUCUCUCACCUCACUUGUUAUUCUGAAACUUGAAACCUUGACCGACUUAAAAAGCCAAGGCCGUAGAAUUCGGCAGUGUUCUCUUCUCAGUGCAAGCACUGCUCGGAGUUCACUUGAAACCCUUGGGAUCUCUGACGCUCUAGGAUUUUGGUACUCUACUAUUAAUUGAAUCACUGCUAGAAAUUGCUCUUUUCUUUGCUUGUUCGUUAAUUGGUAACUGUAAGUACCUUUGACUCUCGCAAUUUCAUUUUCUGUGCGUGUGUUCAUGUUCUGUAUAUCUAUUUCACGUAACCUUCAUUGAACUAAUAGGCUACUAUGUUUAUGGUCCUCUUUGCUUUGAAGUUAUCCUAUAGCCUUAUGUUUCCUAUUAUCAGAACUUGCCUAAAGCUCUAAGUUUUGAUGUAUGCCCAUGACCUCUGACUAUCUUGAGCCUGCUUAGCUUAUUGUAUUUGCGUAUGGUUGAAUGUUAUUCUGUUGCUUGUCAAGAGUUCAUCUCCCUGCUUGUUUUAUAUUCUUGUGAUAGAUUAAUUCAUACCUAAUGUAUCGUUUCCUAUUGAGUUAUUCCUGUACCACUUGUUAACUUCCUUGUGAUUGAUCUAUGCUUGUGUAAUUUCUAAAUGCCAGUAUUUCCUAAACUUCUAAACUAGCAUGACAUAUUUUCUUGCUAUUUGUAAAUUUUAGGGUAUGCUCUGUGACUUGUUUAAUGCUUUGUUCUUAAAAUAGUGCUUAAGACUCCCAUGCAUAACUUUUAUUUUAUAUAUGGUUAACUGGCAUAAGUCUUGAUGCCUACCUAUCUUGUUAAUCUUGGUAAUGUUUCUGAACCUUCGUAUUAAUGAUGGAUGCCCAACAUGCUAAGUUUUCCCAUGUGAUUUCUUGUCAACCAUUUUAGACUAUGCCCACUAGCCUAUUUUUCAUUCUCCCUAGGCUCUCAUGUUAGAAUUUCUAUGUGCAGACUGUUAUUUCACUUGUUCCUAUCCUUGAUUUUGCUAGACCUUCAUGUAAAACUCUUAUAUCUAAAGUCCUUUAGGCUAAUGUUGAAUCAUGUUUUGUUUUGACACUCUCUUUGUAAUGAUUCAUUAUCCUAUAACGGUCAAUUAUGUCGCUCUUAAACUUUCUUUCUGGGAUUACAAGUCUCAACUUGCCUCAUAUGUAUCUUUUGUGCCUUCAAUCUAGCCUAGUCCUGUUUAUAUGUCUUAACUAGAGAUGAUGUUAGCUAUAUCUUUAAGAAUUAAGUGUCUAAGAUAUCUUGUUAAAUUUUAUAAAUAAUUUGUCACUUGCAUGGCUUGGCAUCCAUUUAGGUAAAGUAAGGCCUCUUUUGUUUGCACUUGAUGGAAGGUUGAAUCAUAAUCAUUCAGAUUUCAGACAUUAAGUGCGUUUGUUUUUAAAGUCUGAAUCUUAAUUAUUCAGAUCUUAAUCAUUAAGUGUGUUCGUUUUUUUUACUUCACAACCACUUAAUGUGUUUGAAUUGGUCUGUAUGAUUAACAUCUAUAAUAUAAACUUAAUUCAUUAAGAUACUAUCAAAUAUUCAUUAUUAAUCCAUGCUAAAAUCUGAAUAUAUAUANNNNNNNNNNNNNNNNNNNNNNNNNNNNNNNNNNNNNNNNNNNNNNNNNNNNNNNNNNNNNNNNNNNNNNNNNNNNNNNNNNNNNNNNNNNNNNNNNNNNNNNNNNNNNNNNNNNNNNNNNNNNNNNNNNNNNNNNNNNNNNNNNNNNNNNNNNNNNNNNNNNNNNNNNNNNNNNNNNNNNNNNNAUAUAUAUAUAUAUAUAUAUAUAUAUAUAUAUAUAUAUAUAUAUAAUAAGAUAAAACCGUAUGAAAUAUCGCGAUUAAUGCUAGCAGUCAACAAAGAUGAAAUCACAAAAAAAUAACAACUCAAUACACAGAGAUAGAAACAUGAGAUCUCCCGGGAUACCAUCCUUUAGUCCCAAACGUAAAUAUACAGAGGAUCUCCCAGGAUACUGUCCUGUAGUCCCAAACGUAAAUUUGUAGGGGCAUCUUCCGGAAUAUCGUUCUGUAGGCCCAAAGUAAAUAUCCAGCAUAGGGGGAUUUCCCGGGAUAUCGUCUCGUAGUCCCAAAUGUAAAUGUGUAGAGGGAUCUCCCAGAAUACCGUUCCGUAAUCCCAAAGUAAAUUCCCAACUCAUUCAAUAUAAACAAUAGUUUCAACAAGGAAAAAUCUACAGUUCUAAUUAUGUUCGUAUCAAAGAAGAUAGGAAACUCUUACUCUAAACAUGCCACGUAGAGUUCAGGUAGGCAGUAAAAGCAGUUAAGAUAGUUAAGGCACAUAAGCAUACUUUCCUAACUAAACAGGGUAGCUACAUGUACUAGUAUUGCUCAAUUAAAGGAAAACAUAUAUAUUUACUUAAUGAAAAUGGGGUUUUCAACAAAUAUCCCGUGUACGCACUCUUCACCUCACAUACAACAUUCAUAUAUUAAAUAGUACCAAAUCCAAAGGGGGGUUACCUCACACGUGGUUAGGCAAGUCAGUUACCUCGAACCAAGCUCAAACCAAUUUGAAAUCACUCUCUUGCCACAAGUAUCCAAUUCCGAGUGGCCUAAAUCUAAACAAAUCAAUUACAUAACGUAAAUAUAGUGACUAAUUUAGCUAAUGAAUUAAAUCUAAGGCAAGAAAAUAAUAAAAUGCCCAAAAAUUCUCCCCACGCCCAUGCCUCAGAAUCAGGUAAAAGUCACAACUUAUGAACAUCCGUUCACUCACGAGUUCACUCAUACAAAAAUCAUCCAAAAUCGACGCCUAAAUCCCAUUCAAACCUCAGAUUUUUAUUGGGAAACUUUUCCCCCAUUUUUCAAACUUCCACUCUCAAAUUCCUUAAUUAGAUGAGUAAUACAACAAUAGAUUGACAUAAUAUGAUCAAAAUCGAUUUACAAUUCGUCAUCCAAUUGCUCUCCUUCAAAAUCCCUCGAAAAAUUGCCUUCCAACGAGCUCCAAAUUGAAUUUUUGUUAUGAAAUUUCAAACCUUCGAAAUCCCCUUUUCUGUCCAACGAUUCCCACUUAUGCGCUCCCAGGACGGCACCUGCGGUCCCUCUUCUGCGUCUAGAGCUUUGCGCCUGUGAAAAUUCAUUAAUUUCCCAAACUCUUUACUGUUGAUACCUAAUCUUUCUCAAUAUUUUUAUAUAUGCAAAAUACCUUUCAAAUAGCUCGAAAUACCUUUUAAAAUCAAUUUUAUUGCCCUAUUUUAUCAAGAAAAAUCCAAUAAGUAUUUCCAAAAUUGGCAUUUUAGUAAUUAAUUUAUUGUAUUCUCAUAUUCAUACUAAAAUCCCCAAACUUGAACUAUUGCUUGUUCUCAAGCAAUGAAAACGACAAAAUCGCUUCCCAAGUGGCUAAAUCUACCUCAUAUCCUUAUCACACCAAGGAAAAAAGAAAGUCUACUUUAAGUACAAUUGCAUGACUUGAUUGGUACCAGCAAUUAUUCCAAAGCAUAUGAAUUAUCAAACACUUCACAAGAACUUCAUUAUACUUCAAGUGCUCACCCACUAAUGCAAAUCAAAGUAGCAAUCAAGUAAUGACACGAAAGCUUCAAAUUUUACCUCUCCAUCACAAUCAACUUUCUUUGGUCAUUCCUCCAAAUUGAAAAUGGGAUUAAAUUCACAACUCAAAUUGCAUGCGUCCUCACAUUCAAGAAAGGAUUCCACACUCAUAAAUCUUAAUUCAAAGUAACAAUGGGAUAUUAAAGGAAAGAAUUAACUCUCUCUCAGAAAGAUGUUCAAAUGCAUACAAGUAAUACCAUAGGCUUGCCCUUCAUGUAUUUCUCCACUAAUGUAGACAACUCGGUUCAAAAUCAAUUAGGACUUGAGGGUUGUUGUUUAGGCUUUUGGAUAAGGUAUGGUACAAUUUUGGUAAAGUGACUCAAAACCUCCCCAAGCACUACACAAUUUACAAUAAAGUCCACUUCCUUCAAACAUAUUUUCCAGCAUUACCUUACGUUUCCUUCUACACCUAGUCUUCCCUUUAUUCACAACUUUUUUUUACUUUAUUCUCUCUCUCUAUGUGUGUGUGUGUGUCUAUAUAUAUUUCUUUUUAAACUUUUUAUCCCAUUUUUUCUACCUUCCACCUUUUCAACAACUUCCAUAUCACAACUCUUCUAACCAUUCACCCCCAAACUUAGGCUUUUAGCCUAUGUUUGCACUUUCAAAAGUACUUUGGGAGGUAGGGUGCCAAAAGGUAUGUCAAUUAAGAAUAACGGAUUUAGACUUGUAAUAUAGUUGCCAAAGAAUAAGGUUAAAGGCUCAAAAUGGGUUGACUAGGGAAAAUACUCAAGGAUAGGAAUUUUUAGGCAUACUAGCAGUCCAAGGAAGGCCUAAUAUCAUUUUUAAAACCAAGUUAAUCUAUGAUUUUGCCUUGAAGCAUAUUCCGGGAAAGUUUUAGACUACAAGUAAUGCAAAAGAACUAACAAAUAACUCACCACACAUGGCACAUGAAAACUCAAGUGGAAUACUAAUCCAAAAUCCAAUUGAAAACUAUGACUCAAAGAGGUUGCAUAUAGCAUGUGAAUCUAUUUAGUGAAUCAAAGAGCCAAAAGUUGAGUCUAAGAUUCAUGGCAAUUAUUUUAUUUUUCUCUUUUUCAACAAUCAACAAUUCAUAUGCGGAGGUUUAACUCGUGUUGGUACCAAGCAAGCCACAACUUGGCCAAUGGGCAAAAAUCCCAACUCAAACCAUUUAUUUUUCUACAUUAACAAAAACUAAUCCUAACUACAAGACUAAUUCUCUUAAGAAAGUUGUCAAUCUAUCCAUCAUCGUAAAAAGUCGACAAAAAAUUUCUAUAAUUACCCUUUUCAAUAAGAAAACAAAAAAAGGGCAUCCUUGGAAAAAGAACCAUGGUAUAAAGAAAACCAAGGAUAUCGCCACUAACACACAACAUACUAGAACAAAAAAAAGUAAGAAGCUAAAGAACCGUGGUAUAAAGAAAACCAAGGAUAUCGCCACUAACACACAACAUACUAGAAUAAUAAAAGUAAGAAGAUAAACGUCAAUUAUUAAACAUACUAGUAUCAACAUACUAAUAUAACACAAGAUAUAAACAUAAACUAAUAACAAAAUAAAAAACAAUCACAAUACUAAUCUGCCACACACCCACAAAACAUAACGGUUAUACAAGAACGACCCCCAACCAAAGAUGUUGCAAUGUCCCCAAUGCAACUAAACAUGAUAUAGUAAAAAUGGUGGAAAAUGCUCGCUGAAUACUGCAUCAGCUGCUCUCCUCGCUCUCUCAAUCAUCCUCAUCCUCCUCUUAUUCUUCCUCGGGCCACUCUGCAGGAACAUUAUCAGGAUCCACAUCCCUGCUCGACGGUAGCCGGUCUUGAGGCUUAAGGGCCUUCCAUAUGCCCUUCACAAACUUCCACAUCCAAGUAAAGAUUUUAUCUCUUUUCUUCUCUCUAUUUUCACCAUCUGGGUGUGUGACUUUUCCAGAAUGCCAUGGGAAGUACUCAACUCACCAUUCUUCUUGGCCAACUCAGUGUAUGCUUUUCCCAGUGCCUUGAGGUGAUCCCCCUGCUUCUUCUAAUCGUUAAUGUAUUUCUGGAAGUCAUUCUUGGAAAUUUUAGCAGAUCCCUCAGAUGUCUCCCCAGGUGCCUGGGGAAGGCCAGUCACUAGCUCGCAAAUCACUCGCAUCUCCUCACUGAUCACAGCAAAUGGCCCUCCUACUGAAGAUGAUGGUAGACUACUUGGAUUACCCUGAGAAGAAGAAGAUGUCUUUCUCUUUUUGGUCUUCACUGCUCCACCCUCUCCUCUUUUCUUCAACGGAUGCAAAGGCUUCCCCGGAUCUAUCCAAUUGUCCCCUAGAGCUUCUUCUCCCCCCCCCCCCCNNNNNNNNNNNNNNNNNNNNNNNNNNNNNNNNNNNNNNNNNNNNNNNNNNNNNNNNNNNNNNNNNNNNNNNNNNNNNNNNNNNNNNNNNNNNNNNNNNNNNNNNNNNNNNNNNNNNNNNNNNNCCAAACAAGCUAGCAUAACUCAGUGAUAGGAAUUGCUUUUAAUCCAAUACUCUCUUAGUUCACUUAUAAAGAUCUCGCCCACAUUUAGCUGAAUGCCAUCGAGGAUGCAGACUACCAUUUGAUAUCGAGUAAUCAGAAUGUUCCAUAUGUUUGAAACAGGGGAGAUAUGACUAUAUAUGAUAGCCAACCAUAUCUUUGCCUCCGCAGUGAAUUCUUCUGAUGUGAUCCUCCUCUUUUCAGCUGCCCAUGGAACAUCUGCACCCGGGCACAACUUUGAAGCCAACCACUCUCCUGAAGCACAAUCUUUUUCCUUGAAAGGAGUCAUGUCAUGGUCUUGCAGAUUGUAGAACCUGUUCACAUCUUCAGCUCCAAAGCUCACCAUUUUACCCCAAAUCCUCAUCUUGGGAUUUUUCAAUCGGAUCUUUGGGAGGUUUGCAUAAAAUUCCCUCACCCAUUGCUCAUUGGCUCGGCAAGGUUGAGGGGAAAACAAUUCCAUCCCAUGUCCAUUAGCCUUUGAUAGAACCUGGGAGACGUUCUUGGACAUCAUCCAUCACGAUCCCACUCUCCGGGAGGACCUUCUUUGAGAUCAGUUCCUUGUAGUACCGUUUGUGGCAUUGCAUUGUUAGGAACCGAUAGUCAUCAAAGGCCUGCUCUUCUUCCGCAUGAUUUUCACUUGAGGAUCCUUCGGAGUUCGGAUUCAUUGUUCAAUUAUAAUGCAUGUCAAAAAGUGAUAAGAGUGAAAACAUGGUAUGGCUAUGAAGAAUAGUGCAAUUUGAAGCAAUUAUGCCAAAAGAAUGAUCGGACAGUCGAAACUCAGAAUUAGAAUUCUUUUUAGGAUUUUCAGAUUUUGGAAGUGCAAGCCUGCAGAUGUAGCAAUUCCCAUGAUUUUCUUCGCAAAUGCGAAGUUAGUAGAGCUGGGAAAUGCAAAGCAUACCUUCGCAAUUGUGAAGAAAGCAGAAGUCACAACUUUGGAAAUUGCGAAGAAGUCUUCGCAAAUGCGAAGUCUUCAGAGAAGCCAGACUUUGCAAUUGCGAUUAGAUCUUCGCAAAUGCAAAGUCGUCGUCCUCAGUUGAGUUUUUUUCGAAGAACGGUAUUUAAACCUAUAAAAUUUCAAUCCAAGCCAUUUUAAUUAAAACCCAAUCAUUCAUCUAGCAUAAAUCAUGCAUUAAACUUUAUAAGCGACCAUGAAUCAAGAAAUAUCGAUGGGUUUGGCCAAAAAUUUCAUUCGGGCCUGACAUCGAACACAAAAAGAGCGCAAAUGUUUUGAUUCUAUUCGACACGAGUUGGGUACUCAGACUUCCCCACAUUUUGCAAUAAACAAAAUCGCUCACUCUAAACCAAGCCUCACCCAGAAAUUACAUAGAAUUUUUAAACAAAUUUUGACCAUUUAGGGCAAAGGGUGACAGCCAUUUGAGCCUUAGGGCUUUAGAGAUGCCAAGCAAACUAAACAAGAAAAUGAAGAUGAGGAAGAAGGAGUGAUGAUUAAGUGUUCAUACUUGAUUCCUUGCAAAGAAGAGUGAGAUUUGAUUGAGUUUACAGUGAUAAAGGGAGGGAACCACGAGCUUGAGGGCCUUAGAGUGUUUUGUUCGAUUUUAGUUUAAAAUGGGCAAAGGUCAGGUUUUACCCAUCAUGAGUCGCAAUUGCGACUGGACCUUUGCAUUUGCGAAGUCCAAAAUUUCCUGUCAAGUUCGCAAAUGCGAACAAUUUCUUGCAAAUGCAAACUCUGCCCUACAUUUUCCUAACAGUUACUGGUUUUUGCCAUCCAGGCCAUCCCGCCUUGCUCAAUUCAACUUCAAAAAUUCUCAAAACUUGGAAGAUUAGUCAAAAAAAAUAUUCUAAGCUAUUCUAAAAAAGAAAAUUUCAAAAAUGAUGAAAUUUUUUGAAAAACGAUGGAUUCCCUCCAACCAAGCGCCGCAUUUAACGUCGUGGCACGACGUAAACAACAUUAUCAUUUUCUCUCCACUUGGAUGAUAUGAACUGAGUAACUAGCUUGGAAUCAAGCUUGUGACCAUGAGUUGUGGGGGUGGUAUGUUGAUGAUCGAUCCAAUGCUAAAAAAUUUCAUUUUGCAUUUCUUGGCUUUCCAGUGAGGAAUGUUAUUUUGUUUUCUUGUUUCCUCAAACUGUAAAAUGAAAAGCAUGAGAUUUUCCUCCUUGCAAUCCUUCAAUGAUUCGUGUAGUUUGACUUCCUUGUCACCAUACAAUUCCAACGUUGAAAUAUGCUUGGAAUGUGACUUCAAACCUUCACUUUGCAUUUUUUCUAUUUUGACAUCUUCUUUCCCCCCGGAUUAGAGUCAACAUCAACCACAUUUGCAUUUACACCGGUUGAAUCCAGUUCCACAUUUUUCUCGGCAUCACUAACACUCAUUGAGUCGGUUGGCUGAUGUUCAAUUCUUGAUUCCUUAAAGUAAAGCUCACUUUCUUCUACACACUCAAGUUGUUGGGCAUAAUGAGCCUCAAUCAAAGUUUGCAUUUAAUUUUCCAAAGUGCGGAUAUGUUCAUCGUUGUAAUUCAAGCCUUGUUUCAAGUCCUUGAGUGCAAAGUUGUGCUUCUCCUCAUUUUCAAGAAUGGACUCCAAGAUGAGCACUAUUUUCUCAUUUUGAGAAUUUGGGAGUUCUUCUUGGUUUUGAUCAAAUGCCACAAAGGGUUUUCACUUUCAAUCUCCAAGGAAGGAUUUUGGUUUUCGUUCACUUCCAAGGCUCUUUGAACCUUUAGGCUUUGAUCAUUUCAUCCAUUUGUGAGUGCAAUAGUUGAAGUGCUAAAUCAUUUUGGAGACUAGUCUCCAAUAGAGUUCCAAGGCAUUUUUCUCCUUGUUUCCUUCUUCAAGUAGACACUCCAACAUGAGCUUGAACUCUCCACUUUGGUUAUGCUCACUUUCUUCCAUUUCCAUAGCCCUAUAGUUCUCAUCACAAAAAGCAAACUCAUCAUAGUAGGGCUUGGGGAAGGGAAGGUCAAAUAUGCACAAUGGCAACCACACUUAUUACAAAUACUCCAACCAUGGGGAUGAGAUUGUGCACACAAUCCACCCCCAGGAGAAUUUAAAAAAUUUUGCCACGAGUGUGGUCCUCUACAACAAGGACACAUGUCAUCAAAGUAUGAACAUCUACCAUCCGACCAAUUAUCAUUAUAUGAUGCCAUUUUUAAAAAAAUAAGAAAAUAAACAAGAAACAAAGAGAAAAAUAGACUCAAGUUAAGAAAAAUAAUUACACAAAUGUUCACAAGUUUGGACCAAAGCACUUUCGCUUAAUUCUCAAACAACCUAAAUUACGCCAAAUUGUUCCACGACAACGACGCCAAUUUUGAUGACUUCCAAAUCCACCACUAAAAAGCAAUUGACACGGUCGCAUGCAAUAUAAUUUACCCAACUAUGAGUCGGGGUCGAAUCUCGCAGAGAACAAUGUGUAGGCAAUUAGGAAUGUAAGAAAAUUAUCGCUAGUCGUGCAAUGCCAAACACUAAGAAUUUUGGUUGGAAAAGGUUUUUAUAUCUAAAAUGAUGAAAUGUAAACUAAUCUAGAAAGCAAGUAAUAUGAUCAAUGGCUACAAGUAUCAAAGCAUCGGGAAUUACACUCAAGUAACGAUCCAAUGCAUUUCACGAUUUUACAAAUAUGAGCGAGUUUAGGUUAAUUAUUUAUGUCUUAAUUAGCUUCUUUUGAAGACUAACAAGACUUCCUAAUUUAAUUAUUCCUAAUCACAAUUAGAAUUUUAAGAAAGGCUACAAGUAAUUCAAUCCUAUCCCUAGGUAGAAUCUAUAAAAUGAGGGUUAACGCAUCAAGUUCUUGUUAAUUAAUCUUUCCCAACCCCAAACUAUUUUUCCCAAAAUUAAUUUGGAGUUACUGGGUGAGUUAUAGGGUUAGCUAAUCCCUUUGGAAACAUUAAAGAACAAGACUAAUUAAAUAAACAAUUACUCACUUCAUAAAUAUAUAAAAAUAAUUCAAUACACAAGCACAACAAGGUAUAAAAUCCAUACUUUUAAUUAUGGAUAUUCCCAUAAACAAGAUUUAGGUGUUGAAUAAAAUAUUACACACUUAGAUAAACAAUACAAAGCAAGGAAAUGAAUAAAUAAACAUAAAUGGGUAAGAAAAUCUUAACCACAAGCUUUAAUCUUCAAGACCCAAGUGUGUUUGUGCAAACCCGAGCUCAAGAACUUGUUCUCUCUAGUCUCUAUGGACUGAAAAUAAGCCAAAGAUACUUUACAAAUGAGCCCUAUCGGGUAUUAAAUGAUUUAGGGAUAAAAAAUGUGAAAUUCCAGAAUUACCCAUGCCUGAAGCACGUUCUUCGCAAUUGCAAACAAUUGUUUGCAAUUCCCAAACUUGCCUAGACUGCCCAUAUUCGCAUUUGCGAUGAUAUAGUCACAUUUGCGAAGGUUGACCUUUCCUGUUGACCUCGCAUUUGCGAAGCAUUCUUUGCAUUUGCGAACACUGAGUAUUCCUGCUAAUUUUGCAAUUGCGAACCACACUUCGCAUUUGCGAAGUCUGGCUUUUCGAGUUGACUUCGCAUUUGCGAAGUACUCUUCGCAUUUGCGACCCAUCUGGGCACUGCCCUGAUUUUUCCUUUCCUUUGGCUUCUUUUUGACUUUUUUUCACCUUGUUUCUUUGCCAUCACUUCUAAAUCACCCACACCCUGUAAAGUAGAAGUAAAUGCCAUUAAAUACAUGAUUUUAUCACGUUAAACAUAGCAAAAGUAUAGGCUUAAAGGCAAGAUAAGUUGGUAAAAUACCAUCUUAUCAGUAUGAUUUUUACAUAUUUUUACAAAUUUAUUUAGUAUUUGUAAAACUAAAUUGCAUAUAAUUGCAAUAUUAGCCUAUUUUAAGAUUUAAUUACGUUUAUAAUUACAAAAUUGAUUCCAGUAUUUUUAAUAUAAUAUUUAUAUAUUAUUAAUCAUUUUAGUACUUUAAUUUAUUUCCAAAAAUUAUUUUACUAUUUCUUAUGAAAUAAAUAAGGAAAAAUAACUAUUUGGAUGUUAGCCUGUUUUUAUUUCGAUUUUGGCCAGAUUUGGCACCCCUAAUCUAACCAAUUUUAAUUUCAGUUGCCCAGCUUAAUUACUAAAAUUACCUGACCCACAUCCCAUUUAAAUGAACCACCGGGGACCCCUUUUAAUCACAGUUGUCGAUCCAACAAAUCAAUGACUAAUACUCCUCCUUUCCUUUUUAAUUCACCAAUACAUCCCAGCCCUAAUCAUUUGUCACCUACAGCCGCCUCUGAAUCCCCCUUCUCUCAACCCUCUCUCAAUCACUCUCAGAAACCUUAACCGCCACCUCUAUCUCCACCCUAAAGCCACCGGAAUCCAUGGCUUCCAAGGUCAUCAAAGUCCUACACCGGCCUUCUAUAACUCACACACGCCUAAUUUCUGAAGAUUUAAGUCCUAACCAUGAAAAUAUUGGUCGAGGCUUCAUUUGAUUCAAGAUCCAUGGCCAUCCUCGGCCUGCUCCCGCAAGCCAUGCCUGUUUUGAGCCUGGUUUCGACCUCUCCUGCUUAGAUUCAAGCAUUUCUCAUCGUUUGGGUUCCUCUAAAAACCCUAGCUUUGAGGUUUUUCUGAUCUCUUUAGAUUUGUUCUAGAUCUAUGCUUUCCCUAAGCUUUUAAAUGAUUUUCUGGAUUUUCUUUCAUAAAACUACUUUCAAAACUAUUUCUUUUCCCGAUCUAGGGUUUUCUGAGAUAUUUAGAUUUUCUCUGAGUUUCUACUGUGUUUUUCUCUACUGUGUUCGUGUGUGUUUAUUCUACUGUGUGCUUAUGUGUUUCUUCUACCGUAUUUUUCUCUACUAUGUUCUUGUGUGUGUUUCUUAUAAGUUUACUCUGUUGUUCUAGAUAAGUUUCUUCUAAAAGCGCUUCUUAGUAUGUUUCUCCUACAGUUCUUAUUAAUUUUUCCAUUAUGGUUCUUAUCAGUUCCUCUACUAUGUUCCUUUGAGUUUCUCUACUGUGUUUCACAUAUUGUUCAUGAGUUUCUGCUACUAAAAUACAUAUCAAGGGUCUCAGGUCUUUUCUGAGAUCUCUGAACCUGUUUCAAGUAGUAUCCUUUACCCUAAUCACUUGUGCUUUUAUCUCUGCACUCGAUCAAUGGAAAGAACCCUAAAUUUGGGGGUUCAUUCGAGUUUUGAGACCCCUGGCUAUGUGAUUUGCUGACUCUUCUUCUCUGAACAUGCCUGACUUUGAAAACCCUUAUUUUUGGACCUCUUUGAGCUCGUAGAAUUGUUUCAUCUAUUGUUUCAUUAAGUUUCAGAAUCAUUGUUCCAAUUUUGUUUCUUCAUAUGGCUCGGAGUUUUGCCAAACUCUAUAAGACCGUUUACUUGAUCUCUUCUUGCAUGCCUGAUGUCUGUAUGCUCUUUGUAUGGGAUGAACGUCCCUCUAAAAUGGAUUUCAAACUUGUGAUUAGUUUAGACCUCCUUCUGAAUAGGUCCGAUUGAUUUCUUUCUUUGUUUGCUGAUUUCCUUGUGAUUCGACUUAAGUUAAAACUUUCCUCAGCUUUUCUGACGCGGUUCAUUCAUGUUCAAGUAAUUACAAGAUCCCUGACUUUUGAUUUGCUGGCCACUAAUUAUUUUUCUUACCUUAUUUGUGCAACCGUGUAUUUCAAACAUUUUGUCCUUAAGUAACCUUUAUGUCUUAACCCCCAAUUGCCUACUUUACACAAAUUUCUUGUUUGAUUUCUUUCCUUUAAUAACUUUUCCGUUUGAAUCUAAGUUCCUUAAUUAAAGGAAGUCUUGUGUGAUAGAUUCUUAAUUGAUAUUCAGUUCCUUAACUAUGUUCUUACAUUAUUUCUGCUUGAUUUUCAUACUAUAAAUGAACGACUCUUUCACAAACUCAACACACAUUCACAAUAUUUCUGAACUCAUACUAACGUACAAAAUUUUCUCUCUUCUUGUCUGCACUGUGAUAUGUUUACAAGACCUACUGCUUUUCUCUAUUUGUUUCUUUGAAACUGGUAUGUCCUGAUUUAAGCUUUAGCACUACAAUAAUGUGUUUAUUUGCAGCUUUUGUAUGCAUGUCUACUUACUGUUUCUGUAGAGUUCAAUGAUUAGAUUAGCAUGUUGAUUUCUUUCUACCUGUUUCUACUAUGAAUCCCUACUCUCCACCCCCUUUAUGUGUUUGAGCUACGGUUUAAGACAUGGAAAUAUGUAAGUUAUUGUCCAUGAUUUAAAUUUGAUCCCUUAGGAUCCCAGCCUUUAAAUAGUGUGUUCUAACAGGCUUGUGGGUAUGCUAGCACUUCCUAUUGCUGGGUAUGCCCACAGCCUGCUCUUGCCUCUUUCAAUUUCCCUAUUUCCCUUAUACCCCUAUGUGUAUAUUUGUAACUGUUUCCCUUUCCCUUUCCCCUUUCAGAAUUAUGUUUUUGCACUUUCACUCUCUCUUAGUCUCUAAGUUCUGGCCCCCUUCUCUUGAGCCAUGCAUUGGGACCUUGAGUUCCAUCUGAACUUGGACACUCAAGGGCUGGCCUUUCUACACUGCACUUGCCCUAAUCUAAUAAUGUAUUUGGGUGAGAGCAUUUCCCGGAGUCCCCUUUAAGGCUCUUAGGGAAUUUUUACACAUCCAAAUGAGAGAAAGGCUUUGGAUCAUGAUCUCUUGGAGUCGGCUUAUCUCAUAUUUCAGACAUGGAGCCUAAAUCAGGUCUCUUUGGUUGUACUUUUUAUUUCUGAUGUAUCUUUUUACUUUAUUCUGGGAUGUAAUAAUUUUGUAAUGAACUCCUAAGUAUGGCUAGUAAAAAAGGGCGGGUAACUGUGUAUGCAAAAAAGGUAGAUAUACUGCGUAUCUCUGAAAUUCUGCAUUUGCUCACAUAGAUAUCAUGCCUAUAGUUUUCUGCAUUGCUCAUGUAGAUACCAUGUUUACAUGUUUCUGCAUCUGCUCACAUAGAUAUCCUGCUUAUAGGUUUCUGCAUUUCUCGUAUAGAUACCAAGUUUACAGGUUUAUGCCUUUGCUCAUAUAGAUAUCCUGCCUAUAGCUUUCUGCAUUUGCUCACAUAGAUAUCCUGCCUAUAGUUUUCUGCAUUGCUCAUAUAGAUAUCAUGCUUAUAGAUUUUUCUGCAUUCUCUCAUAUAUAAAUCAUGUCCAUAAGUAUCUGGAAAUCUGAAUUCUGCAUAUGCCUAUAAAAAUAUGCAUAUAGGUCUUUCUGAAUCUUGCAUAUCCAUUCUUCAUCUAGCAAUCAUGUUCAUAGGUCUUAAGCAACCAAUUACAAUUAGAUAUCAUGUUCAUAGGCCUUAAAUGAAAUUCAACACCUAUAUAUCAUGCCUAUAAGGCUCCUACAUCUUUACCAUGUCUAUAAAAGGUUUUGAAAGCAACAACACAUCGAAAGCAUGUCUAUAAGAACUAUUAAUUGAAUCUGAACCGCUUCAUUCGGGUAUAAGGCUAAAACUAGUAAUAACAUUUGCAUAACUUCUCCAAGCCGUAGACGGAAGACCAAGAUUCUGAUAAUGAUACAUCCUUAGCUAUGGGAAGAAGUACGAUGCUUUUAGCCAAUUCUACCUCUUAGCGAGGGCUUGACAGAGUUCUCAUAGGGGAUUCCGGUAUAUCGUAUAAAAGAGAAAGGAUUCAUUUAGGAGCGCUCUUUUCAUCCAACUCGAAAUGUCGUAAGUAACAAUAGCGCAAAAGCCAUAGCACAGCUUAUUUAUCAUUUGAAUUUCUCCAAAUUGGAAUUCCUCUCCUAUGUUCUCAAAAACGCUUCCCUUUUUACUUGAAUUUUCAGCGAUCGUUUUUUCUACUAUUUUAGCGAUUAUGAUAGAGAUAAAGCUCUUUAGAUGGUCUUUUCUAUUGUAUAAUUAUUUAUUGUUCGAGUUGGAGUUAGAAAUCCAUCAGGAUUUCGUGUGCUUACUUAUAUUGCUUUUGGUUUUCGUAUCAUGGAUCUUGGGUCGCACUUUAUGUCAUUUCUACUAGAAAAAUAAUCCAGACAUUUGUCGUGUACCUAUUAUGGAAAGCGUUUGGACUCUGUCUCUUUUGCUUUCCUUCUCCUUUUUCUUUGAUGAAUUGUUCUUAGAAACGGUAGACUGCGCAGGAAAG